GGCUAGAGACGGAAUUUAUUGAAGAAAUUGUGAAGGACAUCCACCGUAGGUUACAUGUACCCUCAAGGAGUGUUCGGCAACAACUUAUUGGGAUGGACUAUGAGAUUAAGUUCAUAACUUCAUGGUUGAAAGAUGGAUCCUCACAUACGGCAGACAUACUCACUAUUACGGGAAUCGGCGGGAUCGGGAAGACAUCUUUAGCCAAAUAUAUCUAUGACCUAUAUUGGCAUGAAUUCAGCACAAGCAGUUGUAUUGAAGAUAUCAGUAGGAGAUGUGAUGGAAAGUUUAAUGGGCUGCUUGAUAUACAAAAGCAACUUUGGGAUGACAUUUCAAAAAAAAGUUCAAUUCAAGUUCAUAAUGUUUCAGCAUACACCUCAAAGAUAGAGAAUGCAUUAACCCUUAAAAAGGUCUUUAUAGUUCUUGAUGAUAUCAGUACUAUUGAUCAGUUGGAUGCAUUACUCGGAAACAAAGGUUUUCAUCCCGGAAGCAAAAUUAUAAUAACAACAAAGAUAAGAUGGAUAACACAAAGUUGUGCACUAUUCAAAACAAAUAUUAAACCCAAGCAUGUAGAACGCUUCCUUAAAGGCUUAUGUAGGACUGAAUCAUGCCAACUUUUGUUUUCCCAUGCAUUCAUGUGCAACCAUCCCAAGGCAGGUUAUGAAGAGGUGUUAGAGAAGCUUGUGAAGUAUUGCCAAGGACAUCCAUUGGCUCUCAAAGUUUUGGGCAAGUCGCUACAUAAUCGAGAUGUAGCUUACUGGGAAGGGUGCAUACAAGGGCUAAAAAAAGAAACAAAUUCCUGUAUAAAUAAUGUCUUGAGAAUGAGCUUUGAUUCUUUGCCAUCUAACAAUGAUAAGGAAUUGUUUAAGCAUAUUGCUUGUUUUUUUGUUGGAAUAGAUAGAGAUGUUACCGAAACAAUAUUAGAGGCAUGCAAUAUAAACACGAGAUACGGAAUCAUUAAUCUCAUUGACAGAUGCCUUCUUAGUAUAGGACAAAAUAAUGAAUUGACGAUGCAUCAGUUGGUUCAAGAGAUGGGAAGAUUCGAAGUACUUCAAGAAUCACUUGACAAGCCAUGGAAGCGCAGUCGAUUAUGGUGUCAUGAGGAGUCGUUCAAAGUAUUAAAGAAAAAAAAGGUAAGAGCCUUUGUAACCCCGUAUAGUUGCUAGUAAUGUGCAUAUAUAUAUAUAUAUAUAUAUAUUCCUUAUGUUGAGCCAUUCCAACACAAAAUUCAUAUAUAUAUGCUUGACUAAAGAUGAUUAAAACUGCAAUGUAAGCUUUUAUAAUUGAGAUGAAGUAUAANGGUGCAUCAUUUGAGUUGAAAAUAGAUGCGUUGAGUAACAUGGAUAAUCUGAUGCUGCUACAACUCAAUUAUGUGCACAUGAAUGGUUCUUAUGAAAACUUUCCGGAAGAAUUAAGAUGCUUAUGCAUGCAUGGGUACCAUUUAAAUUCUAUACCUUUAAAUUUACCAAUGGGGAAUCUGGUUGCUCUUGACAUGUCAUAUAGCAAUAUUGAAUCAUUUGUCUUUUGUGAUAGUAAUCCACAACGACAUGAAAAGAGACAAAAGGUAACUUAUCUUCCUUUGUUAUUAUUCCAUGUUGAUUUGGUGAAAUUCACUAUUAGUCUAACUUAUCCCUAUUUCACAGUUAAGCGGAUCAUGCUUAAAACACAAAAGGGUACUUGGAUCAUUGAAGAUUCUUAAUUUAAGUUUCUGUAAACAACUUGGUAGUCUUGGUGACUUUGACCAACUCCCUGCUCUUGAGAGGUUAAUAGUUAGAAAUUGCAUUAGUUUGCAUGAGGUUUGUGAAUCAAUUGGGCAAUGUGUUAAACUUGUCUUAAUCGAUCUGAGCUACUGCAACAAGCUUGAAAAAAUUCAAAAAAUCACAAGCAUGUUAGCGAAUGUUAAAAUAAUGUUCCUAGAGGGUUGUAAUCUUGGGGAAUCACAGAUCAAGAUUAGGGAUAUUGAUCUACCAGAAAGGCUCAAGGCUAACGACAUUGACAUAAAUACAAUAACCUCUUCCUCUGCCUUUGGGGGUGCUAUACCAAGUGAUUUGAAGUUCUCUGCAUUUUCUUUACCUAGGUCUUUAGUAAGUUUGGUACUUGCAAAUAAUAAUUUGUCCAAUGAAUCCUUUCCCAUGGACUUCAGUUGCCUAUCCAUGUUAAAGCAUUUAUAUUUAGACGAAAAUCUUAUCGAUUCCAUGCCCAUUUGUGUGAGAACCCUUCCUAGGCUUGAAAUACUUAGCAUGAAUAAUUGUAAAAAUUUGAAGUCAAUCGAGCAUCCUCCACAUACACUAAGAGUGUUGUUCGUCGUUUCUCAUAGGCCCUCUAUAGAAAAAUUGGUAUUAAAUCGAACAACAUCCAUACACCAUUUAUCAUAUAACGAUAUAGAUUACGGACGUUGGUCAUAUGAAAUAGAAGGCGUGAUCAAAAUCCAAGCAAUGGUGGGUGUUGACGAAGAGGUAUUGCGUAGCUUGGGAUGGACUAAUUUAGACUUCCGUAACGACAGGCGUGUGAGAACAGAUCUUCAGAGAUCUGGAAUCCAGGUUUUGUCUAGUUAAAUGUUUUGUCUUUAUGUGAAUACGUUUAAUAUAAUUAUUACGGUGAUUAAUUAAGGUGGUUUGUAUUUGGCAGACGAUGCUUUAUGAAUAUGGAAUAUUUAGCACAAUGUACGAGGCGGAGGAGAUGCCGAGUUGGUUUAGGCAUAGAAGCGUGGGGCCAUCAAUAUUAUUUACCAUCCCAUCAUCUCCAAACUGCGUUAGAGGAUUCAACUUCUGCUCUGUGCAGACGUUGCAAGUUCCAGAUGAGGAUGCAAGAACCUAUCUUUCGCCAAAGAUCACAAUUGAUAAUAUAACAAAGAAUCGCACAUGGAUAUACCAACGUCGCUUGACCAGAUCUACUGUAUGCCGAGAGUGUUGCGUGAUGUUAAGUCAUUGGAUGUUUGGAAUGAAUGACAUGGAAGGUGGUGACCAGGUUACUAUUACUGUUACAGGGCCAUAUAAUGAACUUAUAAAGGAGUGUGGGGUGAGAGUCAUGUAUGUUGAUGAUGAUGAUGGUGCGUUAGGUUAUUACAAGUCAUGGAAUCUCAUAAUUGGUGGAGAUCUCUCUCCUUUUCAAAUGAGAACAGGAGAAUACAUCCUAUACAACUGGGAUUUUAGAUUCCAGUUUAUGAAUUUUUUCAUGGAACACUAAACUCAUUAGAGAAGGUGACAGCUAUCAAGGUUGAUGUCAUUCUUAUUAAAUAUUUUGUUGUCAGAGCCUUAUGUAUACAACCUGACCCAUGACCAAACUUCAUUAAAUAGAUGAACAAUGACCUAUUUAUUUUAAAUAAAUGGAUCAUAGCCUGAUUCGUCUAAAUAAGUACAUCAUAUGACCCAAAUCCACCCAUUUAUUAUUGAUUUUGUUUGCCCUCUAAGAUAAGAGUUUAUUUUUAAUGUAUCGAUCCAGAUGCACGAUGGGUCGACCCAAGUAUUGAUCCGUCUAAAUGGGUUGAUCUGCUAUAUCAAUUGGUUAAGUUUUUUUAUAUGUUGGGUCACAUAAUUAUAAUAUACCAGGACCAAUACAACUGCUUUGUCCAAAUGGAUGUAUGUGAAUAGUGAUUAACACAAUGCUUUUUUUUUUCUCUGUAUUUUCAACACAAAAGGAAGUGUGGUUCAGAGAUUUUUCGCAAAGGAAGCCUGACAUAAUUGGUCAUGCACGUGAGGUAUAUUUUUAUACCUGAGCAUUUCUCUCGUCACAUAAAUAAAGGGAAAAUGACUUAGGUUUUGUCCACAUUUGGUCACUUUCAUUUUUUUUUGACAACAUUGACCAUUAAAUUCUCAUUUUCUGUUCAAGUUAUAGUAGGUUAAUGUCCAAUUGGCAUAUACUUGGCAUCUACAUGGUGGCAUUUGAGAUUAGCUGAUACGUGAUAUAAGGUAUUUCUUCACCCUCUUGCUCUUUUGUGCCCUAGAAUAACAAAAUCAACAUGUCUUCUUCUUCUUCUUAAUCUGCCAGUCAAAAUCAAAAAUUCCAAGUUGAAAAUCCUUGGAAAUGUGGGUUACCUUCUCGAUUGAGGAAAUCACAGACUGAUGACAACCCUGAAGAAAGUUUAGAGUGUGCCCUAACUCGAUGGUAAAUCAAAUUAUGUUUUUUCUUUAACACUUCUUUUGUAUGUUCUUGUUUUAACAUUUCUAUUUAUUCAAGACUAAAAGGAAAAGUUGCAAUUUCUAGGAGUGAUCGAUGAAGAUUUUCAAUAUGAAGAUUUAAACAUCAAGUUGAAGUCGAAGAAUAUGGGUGUAAUGGAAGCUUAUGAACUAAUGCUGAAAAUUUGCUACAUCAGAGCAUGAGAUGAAGAUGGACCACGAAAUGGAGGCACUGAAAUGGAAGGUGUCCACUCACAAAAUAGUGCUCUUGUGUUGUUUGUUAUGCUUGUAGUUAAUCUACUUUAGGUUAGGGAUUAAUGGCUUAGUGAAAGUUGGCUUAUUGGGUUAAUGUACUUUGGAUGUAACUGAAAAUGGCUUAAUGAAAGAUGGAUGCUAGCUAACUGAUUAUUAAUGACAGUUUUGGAUGUUUUUUUGACAGGGCUUAAUGAAUGAUACAUGUUGGGUUACCGAUUGUUGAUGACACACAAACAUAAAACUAGCAAACAAGUAUUUGUCAUGAACAUAAAACAUGAACAUAAAACAGAUGAACAAAUAUAGCCAUGAACAUACUAAAUUAGAAAAAUUAAAGAACAUGAUAAUGUUAACAGACAAACUAGCUUCCCACAAUAUGAAUGUGGUUCCUUUUCAUGAGGUUCAUCUUCAGUUGGUUUGGGAACUUCCAUGUGUCCUUGAACUUCUUGUUCUGUUUUCACGGCUUGACACAUCUGGUUUCACUACAAAGAUUUGUAAGUUGCAAUAUUAUUUUGUUUUUGCCAAAAAUAUUUUUGUUGUAAGUUACAUAACAUUAUUUUUUGUUUAGGAUACCAUAUUUGUAGUUCUUCCCAUACUCUCCCUCUAUUUUCCUCUUUAUAGUGGGCCUCCCACGUAACCUUCUUUUUAAGGGGGUUUAAUGGAUUGUGAGCAUCAACAUGAGGCUACAUGACACAAUUAGAAGUCAUAAGUUCAAUCAUUAACUUUUUUACUUGAUUUAUGGAUGUUGCUUUUUCAAACGAAGCAAUCGUUGAUGGGGAUUAUAUUAGAUGUCCUUGUUCUAAAUGCAAGAACAAGUCUUAUAAAACAAGAAAGGAAAGAAAACCCUAAGUUUAGGGGUCGACUCGGCGAGUCUAAGGGGGACUCGGCGAGUCCGAGCGGGAUCCGGGUCGGGGAGUAAGUGACCGACUCGGCGAGUCGACCAGGGGGACUCGGCGAGUAUGGUCUGUGCGUGGAAAACCCUAAAUUCGGGACUUGGGGCCUAUAUAAAUUUCUUAAUCUUCUUCCCAGGGUUCCUUACUGCCUCUUUAGCCCUGGAUAUCAAACCCUAGCCAUCAUAUCUCCUAGUUGAGCCUUGGAAGGUGCUUUAAAGCUUGGAAAAGGAAGAAGGAACUUGGAGGAGCAAGAAGGAGCUAUAGAUCUGGGAUUAUGAGUUCAUUUUAAGCACUUGGAGGUAAUAAACUAGUUCCUGGACCCUUUUUGCACCUAGAUCUAUGUGUGGUUGUUGGGGCUCUUUUGCCAUAAUGUUAUUAUUUUGGGUUAGAAGCCGGAUCUGGAGUUGCUACUUCAGAUUCAAGUGUUUUAGGGCCUGGAGAAGCAUAAAGUAUCAGUCAUUGUGUUGAUUUUGAAGUCCCUUGGCCUUACACCCUAGUUAAUGGCGUAUCUUUCCUAGAUCUCCUUCUCUACACGUAAAGUUUGCAACUUUACGUAAGGAAUAGACCUUAAAAGAGUGGAUCUACAAUUUGGAGUCCAUGCAUGACUCAAAGGUCCUCUGCAUGUAUGUAGAAUCGAAUGGACUCGGCGAGUAGCUUGAAGAUGAGGAGGAACUCGACGAGUAGGAUGAACAACUCGUCGAGUCGGAUGAAGUUAGGCAUGGACUCGGCGAGUUGGAUGAGCAACUCGGCGAGUUGGUUGAAGAUUGUCUAGGACUCGGCGAGUCAUGGACUGACUCGGCGAGUCGGGUCGCGAAUAAGAAAGACCCUGAGCUUAUGAACUCGGCGAGUCUUUAGGAAGACUCGGCGAGUAGGGUUGACCUGGAAGGUUGACUUUGACCAGAGUUGACUUAGUUGACUGUCAGACUAAGUGUUAUAUGUAUAUUGAUAGCUCGGAGAGCUGGAGGAGCAGCGGAUCAGGGGAUUGUCGAGUAGCAGCCAGAGAUUUAUCAGUAGGGUUCAGUAGUCUCAGGUGAGUUUCCUUCCAGUAGGGACGGGUCUAAGGCCACAAUGCCGGCCCGUCCAGUUAGCAGUAGUUUCCGAUGCAGUAGUUAGCAUGUUUGAUGCCUUCGUGGCUCAGACAGGAUUUAUGUGCUAUGUUUUAUGUGUUAUGUGUUAUGUGUUCCGGGCUACGGCCCGAUGUAGUAUGCAGUAUAUGUGUUCAUGCUAGUUGAUAUGUUAUGCUAUGCUAUGUUCAGCCAGUUAGCCCGGACUUCGGUCCGAUGCAGGGGACAAGGUCCCAAUCAGUCUCCGGACUUCGGUCCGAUGUAGGGGGCAAGGCCCCAGUUAGCCCGGACUUCGGUCCGAUGCAGGGGACAAGGUCCCAGUCAGUCUCCGGACUUCGGUCCGAUGUAGGGGGCAAGGCCCCAGUUAGCCCGGACUUCGGUCCGAUGCAGGGAACAAGGUCCCAGUCAGUCUCCGGACUUCGGUCCGAUGCAGGGGGCAAGGCCCCAGUUAGUCCGGACCUUGGUCCGAUGCAGUGGGCAAGACCCAGUAUGUGCUUUAUAUGUUAUUGUAUGGUAUGUGGUAGAUUGGGGGAGCUCACUAAGCUUCGUGCUUACGGUUUUCAGUUUUGGUUUCAGGUACUCAGUUUUCAAAAGAGGAGCUCGGGAAGAUUGCAGAGCACACACCAUAGUCAGUUAGCCUGGGAAUGUUUGACUCUGAUAAUGAUAUUAUGUUUUGAAUUUAAUACUCAAAAGUUAUGUUUGACUUAUGAUACGUUGUUAUAAAUCUAUUUUUAGUAAUGUUUAAAAGAAAUUUUUUGUCAUGAUUUUUGGGUCGUUACAAGUUGGUAUCAGAGCCUUGGUUUGAGGGAUUCGGGCGCACUCCUGAGUGUGUCUGAACUCAAACUAAGGAAGUGGUAUAGAGUUUUCAAAAGAAAAACCAUGGUUACAAAAGGAUUUUGAGAAAAGAAAACAAUUUUAGAAAAAGUAUAAAGAAAAGAGUUUUAGAAAAAGCAAAAAGAGUUUUGAAAAGAGAAAAGGGUGUGGUGCAUGCAAUCAGCCGAGCUCAAGUAAGUACUCCCAAUUUACCCAUACAAGUUAUAUUAUGAUUAUCAGUAUCAGUUUCAGUAUCAGUUUCAGUUUCAGUUUCAGUUCCAGCUUCAGUAGAACAGCAUGCUAGAAUAGGACUAAGGAUCUAGGAUGAUGCCUUAUGUGCCUGCUUUAUGUGUUUCAGCUUGAUAAGAAUUUCAUGCUAGUAAUGAGUAGACAGUAGUAGGAUAGCCUGUGUAGGUUAUGCCUGAUAGUAUGAGCUUAGCAUUGUAUGCUAGUACAGUUUCUUGUUAUGAGAAUAGUUUUGCCUGAGUAUGUUUCCUUUAUCCGAAUGCUGCUUGCUUUGUGCUUUGUGGGACUCUGAGUGAUGGGAGUUAGCCAUUAGGUGAAUACGUCACAUCACAUGUGAUCAGGGUUGAAUAAUCUCAGAGUGCUGGAUUUGGCCCUACUGCGCAGCUCUCGUUUGAGUCCAACCGUUGUAGGGACGAGACUUUUACUCGAAGGAUUAUCCGAGCCUCAUUACAUGUGAUGGUAUUCAGGUGGUGGCUAAUUGGCAUUACAAGGAGGCCUUCAGCAGCUGAGGACUGGUUUGAGUAGAGUCAGAGGUUCCCUAGGGCAAGCCUAGGAUGAGAGUAGCAGAGAUCAGUAGAAGAGUAAAGGGGACUUGGUGGAGUUGAGGUAACUCUUGAGGAAAGUACGGAUAGAUGUGGAAGGUAGUAGGGGCCCAUACUACUGAAAGCAGAGGAUCCGUACUCGAUUCAAGAGGGGCCGCGGCGAAACCAAGGAACUAAUAGAGUAUGUGAGAGAUCCCUCAGCAGUAGUAUGUAAUUGAUCAGGGAUUGUUAUAUUUUUCAGCAUGGUGACGUUGCGCGAGAUAUCAGUUGGCAGUUCAGGUGCAGGGGAGGGGUCUGGCUCGGGCUUUAGAGUCGGGCAGCUUGAUGAUCAGAUGAGGGAUUUCAUUUCCGCAGAGAUUAUGCGCAACAUCAUCGAUCAGACUCCAGUGAUUUUUGGUUCAGUUAGAGAGGCUUGNGCCAUUGUGGAGCUCGUGGACAGUCAUCUUGAGGCCUUUAGGGCCGGAUUAGUUUCAGGACAGAUUGGGGCUCGUCUAGGUCCCGAAUCCUAUGGAGUUCAGGGAUCCAUCAGGGAGGGAGAUCCCAUUUCUAGUUUCUGCUAUCAGGGGGCAGGGUGUGUGGGGCAUUCUGUCUCCAAGAGAAACCAUUGCAUGAUUGGAUAGUUGAGGAAGUUUCGCGAGCCAUUCGCGAGGGUCUGCCAGACAUGGUCGUGAGGAUCACUGAUAGAUUGAUAGCGAGGCUUCAGGAUCAGACAUCUGUUGUUCAGUCAGCAGACGUUACCAUUGGGGUAACACAGGAGCGAGAGUCGGGCAGGGAGUCGGAAGGGAAGAGAAAAAUGGAUGAGACUCAGGCUGCCACAGGUUCGAGUAAGAGGCCCAAGAGUUCAGAUUUGAGGACGAGGAACUAUCAGAGCCGCAGUCGAUGCGGGAAGUGCGGGAGGACGCACAUGGGUGUGUGUAGGCGUAGGAGGGGUGGCGAUGCUGGGUGUUUCAAGUGCGGCCAGAUUGGUCAUUUUAGCAGAGACUGUGUUGUUACCAUCGCCCAGGGNNNNNNNNNNNNNNNNNNNNNNNNNNNNNNNNNNNNNNNNNNNNNNNNNNNNNNNNNNNNNNNNNNNNNNNNNNNNNNNNNNNNNNNNNNNNNNNNNNNNNNNNNNNNNNNNNNNNNNNNNNNNNNNNNNNNNNNNNGGGUGCCUACGGCUCGGAGCCGAGUUUCUCCGGUAGAUUUCAGCAGGGAUUCGAGCAGCACUGAGUAAUGGAGGUAUGUAACUUUGUGUUUGUCAGCUUAUGUUAUGAUUAUAUUGUUAUGGUUUUUGCAUCAAUUGUGGUAUAAGUGUUGUGUUAUGGAGUGGCUUGCUUGUGAUUACGUCAUAUGCCAUUUUCAUACCUCGGAUAAUUGGUUGGUAGUUAGGGGAUGUGCUCAUAUGGAGAAGUUUCGGAGGAUGCAGUAACUGUAGCAUGGUAGGGAGAGAUCUGGAUCGUUUCGCUAGUUCGGAGUGGAUAGUGGGUUGGAUGGAAUGGUCAAAUUCCUACCUGGCGGGCUUGGGUUCCCCAGUAGAAGUUUUGGAAUGGUAGUAAAGGAUCGGGAUCUCUUUUGAGUGUGAAGCCGCAAGGGUUAAGCAGGAUCGAAGUGGGGGAGAACCCUCCGGGUAUAUUUGGAUAAGAGUCUCGUAGACUCAGAAUGAGUGCGCGGCCUCUAAGAAGAAAUGGUAGUAGCUCAGUGAUGGAUGGAUUGAGAAGUUCAGAACUAGGAGUUCGAGAACUUUUCCCAGUAGUUAGUUCAUGUAAUCGAAAUGGUUAGAAGCUGGUUGGGAAUCCAAGAUUGAGGGCCACCUGUCGGACGCAUGAGAGUCGGAAUGAAGACCCUGAGAACGGGUAGCAGGAGAUGUUUUAGCAUUGGUAGCCAGUGUCUGAGGCAGCAUGCAGAUUGCGUAGAUUCAGGAGUUGGGAGGUUGGAAACUUCCCAACAAUAGCUUCUUGUAUUCAGAUUAGUAGACGGUUGGUUUGGGAACCAAGCCGGAGAAUUCCUCGACGAAGCACUAAGUAUAUCAAGGAUAUAAGAUGUCGAGGAUGAUGCAGAAUUCAAAGACUGAGGGCUGGUGUGAGAAAUCGGGAUGAAGAAUCACUAGCGGGACUAGGGAUAGUCAGGAUGUCCUCGGGAUGGUAGUAGUAGAGUGUUGUAAGUCUGCGGGGGUAGCCGUAGCAUUCACUAGUAGUCAGAUAGUAGUAGAGUGUUGUAAGUCUGCGGGGGUAGCCGUACCAUUCACUAGUAGUCAGAUAGUAGUAGAGUGUUGUAAGCCUGCGGGGGUAGCCGUAGCGUUCAUUAGCAGCCAGAUAGUAUUUGAGACUUGUGAAUCCACGGGUGUAGCCGUGGCUUUUAUCAGAUUGGUAGCAGCAUGAGCGCGUGGCUGAACGCGGGAAUGUAGUAUUUCCCACCCGUUCGGGUGCAGCGGUGGGAAUAUGGGAAUCCACAGAUUAGAUUCGGAUUUCCCAAAUGGUUCAGUUAUGGCUAAGUCAGCGAAUCUUGGCUAUAGAUCGUCACAUCAGUUAUGAGAUCAGAGUAGCAGUGGACCGUUGAGGUUCGGGUAUGUUAAGGGCUACCGUCAGUCUGGGAGCCAUCAUGUUAUUAGUCAUAGAAUGGAUGAUGUCAGGAUGUGAAGUAUGGACCCGAUCGGUUGGAUCGGAAGGUUGUUAGAGCCACAGUGACAGGAUAACUAGUGGAAACUAGUCCUUGAGGAAGAUUCCAUUCAGAAGUCGUGGAAGCGACUAAAGGAGGAGUCCCUUGACUCCACAGUUGGACUUGAGUUUAGUGUUUCAGGCAGCUCAGUGUUUCGGCCAACUCAGUGUCUCAGGCAGCUCAGUGAUUCAGCCAGAUCAGCGUUUCAGGCAGUUUAAUGUUCCAGGCAGGUUCGUUAUUGCAGACAAUUCAGUGUUUGAAAGGUUUCGGAGUUUUGGGUCAGUAUUGUAUUUGAGUUGGAAUACUAGUGUUGACGGUAUAGUUGGUUGAUGUGGAAAUGACAAGUCUCUCUCAGCAGGAUCAGUUGAGCCUUCGGCCGAGUAUAAGUGACAUGUAAAGAUAGCUAGGCAAGUAGCUUUUCUUCGGGAUGAAAGACUCGAGUUAGUAGGAGUUGAAUAAUCAGAUGGGAUAUAAGCAAGCUAUUCCCAGAAGCAUCGUUUCAGUAUGAGCGGAAGAAUGGAUAGAACAGUUAUAGAUAAGAUAGUCGAAGUAUUUUCAGGAGUCGCUGGAAGCGACUAGGAGAUAGCGAAGGGGUGUAGUAACCGGUAGGGUUCGGUAACCCAAAUAUGGAGACGUCAGUAAGGACCGGGGGUGCUCGGCACCAAGUUAUGUCAGAUAGGGGCGUCGGUGGUUGUUGGCGGUAUUGACCCGUACUGGAAUUGGCGGGGGUGAUGGAGUUGGUGAAGUAUAGGACCUUCACAGUUACAGAGAAAUAGUUGGUUAUAGAACCUUGCCUUGGGAAGGCAAGGGAUUUGCACAAGGACAGGAAGGAGUGAACCCCUAUAGGUUCAGUUCAGUACUCGGUGAGUACCAGAAGGAUUGCUAGUUGAGUAAGUUGGGUCUCCAGGAUGUUCAGGGUCAGGGUUGACCCGAGGUGUUAUCUGCAGGGAUUAAGGUUAGUCGGAAGGAUCGAGCAAAAGCUAGCAAGGGUAGGCAGCUGGUAUUGGAAUAGUUGGUUGGGUUUAGAGGUAGCUCGUAGGCAGUGGGCCAUAGCAGACUUCGAGGACGAAGUUUAGUUUAAGUGGGGGAGAGUUGUAACACCCAAAGUUUCGAAGACCAAGAAAGGAAAGAAAACCCUAAGUUUAGGGGUCGACUCGGCGAGUCUAAGGAGGGACUCGGCGAGUCCGAGCGGGAUCCGGGUCGGGGAGUAAGUGACCGACUCGGCGAGUCGACCAGGGGGACUCGGCGAGUCUGGUCUGUGCGUGGAAAACCCUAAAUUCGGGACUUGGGGCCUAUAUAAAUUUCUUAAUCUUCUUCCCAGGGUUCCUUACUGCCUCUUUAGCCCUGGAUAUCAAACCCUAGCCGUCAUAUCUCCUAGUUGAGCCUUGGAAGGUGCUUUAAAGCUUGGAAAAGGAAGAAGGAACUUGGAGGAGCAAGAAGGAGCUAUAGAUCUGGGAUUAUGAGUUCAUUUUAAGCACUUGGAGGUAAUAAACUAGUUCCUGGACCCUUUUUGCACCUAGAUCUAUGUGUGGUUGUUGGGGCUCUUUUGCCAUAAUGUUAUUAUUUUGGGUUAGAAGCCGGAUCUGGAGUUGCUACUUCAGAUUCAAGUGUUUUAGGGCCUGGAGAAGCAUAAAGUAUCAGUCAUUGUGUUGAUUUUGAAGUCCCUUGGCCUUACACCCUAGUUAAUGGCGUAUCUUUCCUAGAUCUCCUUCUCUACACGUAAAGUUUGCAACUUUACGUAAGGAAUAGACCUUAAAAGAGUGGAUCUACAGUUUGGAGUCCAUGCAUGACUCAAAGGUCCUCUGCAUGUAUGUAGAACCGAAUGGACUCGGCGAGUCCUUCGAGUGGACUCGGCGAGUAGCUUGAAGAUGAGGAGGAACUCGACGAGUAGGAUGAACAACUCGUCGAGUCGGAUGAAGUUAGGCAUGGACUCGGCGAGUUGGAUGAGCAACUCGGCGAGUUGGUUGAAGAUUGUCUAGGACUCGGCGAGUCAUGGACUGACUCGGCGAGUCGGGUCGCGAAUAAGAAAGACCCUGAGCUUAUGAACUCGACGAGUCUUUAGGAAGACUCGGCGAGUAGGGUUGACCUGGAAGGUUGACUUUGACCAGAGUUGACUUAGUUGACUGUCAGACUAAGUGUUAUAUGUAUAUUGAUAGCUCGGAGAGCUGGAGGAGCAGCGGAUCAGGGGAUUGUCGAGUAGCAGCCAGAGAUUUAUCAGUAGGGUUCAGUAGUCUCAGGUGAGUUUCCUUCCAGUAGGGACGGGUCUAAGGCCACAAUGCCGGCCCGUCCAGUUAGCAGUAGUUUCCGAUGCAGUAGUUAGCAUGUUUGAUGCCUUCGUGGCUCAGACAGGAUUUAUGUGUUAUGUGUUCCGGGCUACGGCCCGAAGUAGUAUGCAGUAUACGUGUGUUCAUGCUAGUUGAUAUGUUUAUGUUAUGUUCUGUUCAGUUAGCCCGGACUUCGGUCCGAUGCAGGGGACAAGGUCCCAGUUAGUCCGGACUUCGGUCCGAUGCAGGGGGCAAGGCCCCAGUUAGCCCGGACUUCGGUCCGAUGCAGGGGACAAGGUCCCAGUCAGUUUCCGGACUUCGGUCCGAUGUAGGGGGCAAGGCCCCAGUUAGUCCGGACAUUGGUCCGAUGCAGUGGGCAAGGCCCAGUAUGUGCUUUAUAUGUUUUUGCAUGGUAUGUGUUAGAUUGGGGGAGCUCACUAAGCUUCGUGCUUACGGUUUUCAGUUUUGGUUUCAGGUACCCAGUUUUCAAAAGAGGAGCUCGGGGAGAUUGCAGUGCACACACCGUAGUCAGUUAGCCUGGGAAUGUUCGACUCUGAUAAUGAUAUUAUGCUUUGAAUUAAUACUCGAGAAUUUAUGUUAUGACUUAUGAUACAGUUUUUAUAAAUAUGAUUCUAGUAAUGCUUUUAAAGAAAUUUUUGGUCGUGAUUUUUGGGUCGUUACACCAUGGUAGUAAACCUUGUUGGUUUGACUGCUAUCAAAUUUUUUUUACCUGAACAGCACACAUAUAGGGGUGACAAAAUAGGAUUUUUGGCUAAUAACGUUGAUCGAUCUAGCCCCCCACCAAUAUUAACCGGUGAUCAGAUUUGGGAGCAAGUACGACACUUUCCAACAGUUUAUGAAGGCAAACCUUUUAAGAGAAGAAUGCAAAAUUGCCUGGUUUCGGGAUUACUCAUAAUUGGGUUAAGAGGAGCAUUUUUUGGGAGCUACCAUAUUGGUAGAAGUUGUUAAUACAACACAACCUUGAUCCCAUGCACAUUGAGACAAAUGUGUUUGAAAAUAUUUUCAACACCGUGAUGGACACUCCAAAAAACAAAGACAACAUGAAUGCAAGAAAAGAUAUAGUAAUGUAUUGCAAUCGAGUGCAAUGGCAUACAUGGAAGAAGCGAAAUAAGGAUAUGAAAAAGAGAGCAACGUUUUCUUUGAGCAAAGAACAAUUAAGUAGCUAAAAUAUGCCAAUGGUUGAUUAAACUUAAAUUCCCGGACGGAUACGCCUCAAACUUGGGGGGUGCGUUAAUGUAGAUGAUAAUAGCUUUUACAAAUUCAAGAGUCACGAGUUCCACGUAUUUCUUCAAAAAUUGUUGCCUAUUUCUCUAAGAGGUAUGGUACCAAAUUCAAGAUGGGAUGCAAUUACAGAGUUGUGUACAUUCUUUCGUGUAAUAUGUUCAAAGGUGUUACGCGUAGAUGGCUUACACUGCUUGCAAACUACUAUUGUUGAAACCAUUUGCUUGUUGGAAAAAAUAUUUCCACUUGGAUUCUUUGACUCAAUGGAGCAUCUUGUUAUGCCAAGAGCAUUAUAAGAGGAUAGUGGGAAGGAGGGUGAAGGUAUCUUGUCUCAAAUUCUGGUCUUAGAACCUUUGGCAGAGAUUAGGCUCUCCAAUCUCUAGCAAAUCAUUAGGUUUAUCUUUGUUAUUCUUGUGUUGUUUUGAGUGUUUUAAUUCAACACAGAGAAGCUUUUGUCCUGGUUCUUGUUUGUUGAAGUUUAUUGAGAUAUCAGUUCAUAGCAUCAUUUUGUUAUUUUCAUUAAUUAUUUCAUUUUGUUAUUUUCAUUAAUUAUUUGGCUAAAUGCAAGAAAUAACAAUAUAUAAUAUUUCCUUUUUUAUUAUAGCAUUUUAGUUUUGUUUCUUCUUCUUACAACAUUGUACUUCCAUUUUAUAUAUUGAAAAGGGUAUUGUCCUUAAAAAAUCUACCCGUUAUAACAACUGAUAACUCUAGCUUUUUUAUUAGUCAUCCCCUUAUUUAUUUGUGGACAUGGUACGAUUAGGAUGACAUCACUGAGCAUUAUAAGAAAUUGACAUUGGAGCUUUUCAAAAGCAAGUAGAAUAAAAUGUCACUAUGAAAAAACAAUCUAAAUGGAUUCAUAAUGCUUUUGACACAAUGAUCAAACUCCAGAUCAAGAAAGGUUCAUGUUAUAUAUGAAAAAAAAAAAAAAAAAAGGAUAAAGCAACUACAUGAGUGAUGAGACGGCCCACAUAAUGUCGGGAAUAUUUUUACUCCAAUUGUGGCCAUUAUAUAAAAAAGUAAUCAACGAUGUGUAAUUUAUAAAGAAACAAACCACUUAAAGAUACAUUAGAAAUCAGCUAACCAUCUUCUUAACAAACCAUUAUUAUAAUCACAAAAAAGAUGAAAUAUGAACAACGAAGUCAGUCAAUACCAUAAUUUUCUCAGGCCAACCCCACUUCUUAAAAUUCGGACAAUUUUAACUGGCCUAGGAAUAACAUUCAUUUUUUAAAAAAUGAAAUGAAAUGAGAAUGAAAUUUAAAAAGUAAAAUGGAAAGAAACCGAAAGGAAGAUGUGUGGUUUUUUUAAAUGGUAUAAAGGGAUUUAGAUUGUAUUCUCUAAAAAGUAAAAUUGAGCUUAAGUUUUCAAAUUUUGCAUCAAGUUUUGAUUUUUUGAUUUUUCAUAAGAGAAUAAAACCGUUUUAGAUCAUCCAUUGUAUUUUCUAACAAUCGUAUUCUCUAAAAAAAAUUGUAAAAUAUAAAGGGGUUAUAUGGUAGUGGGUGGUGGUGGCGCUAAUAGGCAGAGGCGGACCAAAUUUUUUUUAAAGGUAGCACCAAAAAAAUUCCUAAUAAAAUAUAAUUAGAUAAUUAGAUUAAAAAAACAUUGAAAAUUAUGAUUUCAUUAGAUAUAAGAAACUAAUGUAUAUAUUACAUUUUAAAUUUAACCACUUUGUUUACUCGUUUUUAAAACAAUUCAUCGUUUUUUUAAUCUUAACAAACAUAAGUGUCGUUCAUAAAAUCAUCACCCACUUUCAUCACUACUACCAAGUACCAACAUCCAAUUUUCUUAUCAAAAAAAUUCCAAAAAACAACCCUACUAACAUAAUUAAAGAAUUAAAAUUCACAAUUGAAUAUUUAAACCUAAUUUCACCAAUAAUACAAAUAAAUAACAAAGGAAGAACUAAUUGAUUAAUUUUAGGUAAUACUUGUUUAUUUUGCUAGUGUGAAAAAAAGCCUAACUUUUGAGAGGAGUGAGCAAGUAGGAGAAGACGCUAAACUUUUGUUAUUUGUGGUGUCGGACUUUCAGUGAAGGAGGGGCAGGAGAACCCAUUUUUUUCCCUUUUGCUAUUGAAGUAUGUCGUAUGCGUUUUGAGUAGCUGAUUUAAGCAAUGGUCUAAUUGGCUAAUUGAUUCACAUAAUGGGCUGUUUAUUUGGAUUUUUAAUUUAGCCAAUAGUGGACAUUUACUUGGAGUUACACCUGGUGCACAUUAGAUCAAAGAUAUAAAAUCCAAUUUUUUUUGAAACUUCUAAGUGCUAUCCCUACCAACUAACUAUAUCUGUCUAUUCCUACCAACUAACAAUAUCUGCCACAAGAAGUAUGUGGUGGUGGAUUGUAGGUGGGAUGGGGUUGGGGGUUCACAGAGAAAAAAAGGAGACAUGACAAAAGAAUGUUAAAAAAGCCUUUUUAUAAUUGAACUUAAAUGAAAAGUUUAAGAGUUUUGGUAAAAAGUCUACCGAUGCAAGAAAUGAGACCAUAAGGAUUGGUGAUGUAUUGUUUUUUAAAUUUGUUCUCAAAGUGAAUUUCACUAAACCGCCAGGAUCAUAUUUGUAAUUUAGUCUUCAGUUCUAGAAAAAGAAUAAAAAAAGAAAUUCAAAAUUAGCAAAACCGUGUUCUUUUUGGGAAAGAACCCUGAAAACCUCGGAUACCAACGCAAAAAAAAAAAAAAAAAAAAAAAAAAAAAAAAAAAAAAANAAAAAGAAAAACCCGAACAUUUUCAUUGUUUGUUUAUACUCUCUCACCGUCUCUGUUCGUUCAUCGUCGACUCACCGUUUGCCUGCUUGCUCAUCUUUCUUGGCCUUUGUCUUAGUUCAUUUUUCAUCUGUUAUCACCGCUUCAGGUUUAUAUAAAAUCUGCUCAUUCUUACAAGUUACUUUUGCUUGUCUAAAAAUUCCACAUAGCAAUCACAGAUCACAUCAUAAUCAUUUGAAAUUUCAUAAACAUGUGAUUAAAACUUUGUUUAUUUCAGCUACUUUUGUUUAGUUUACAUAUCAGUUACAGUCCAGCACGUUCUUGCUUGAAGUCCAGAAUGAUAAACAAAACUUUGCGCAGACGGGAAGAUUCUCCAAUUCUCGAAUUUUUUUUCCCUUAAUCACUUUAUAUUUUGAGUUCAUAACCACCAUUUUUUACAUUUGAUUCUUUAUUGAAUGAUUUUAUCUGCUCCUUAAUUGUAAGCUAAACACUCAAAAUCAACAAGCUUCAAUAUUCGAUUGUCAUAAUUCUACAUUGCCUGCUGAUGUUCCCCUUGUUCAAAACUUGUAGAUUUGUCAAAGCCAGAUUGUAAGACAUCCGGGUGUUAUUCUGCUUGAAUCAAAAUUAGGAUUUUGCUAGUGCAUAAUCUAGGUCCUGAACCAAAUAAGUAAUGCCCUUAAUUUCUGUUUGAAAAUAAGCUGGAUUUGGUUUAUGUUUCGAGGCACAAAACAGAUAAGAGAUUUCUUGCAUAAUGAAUGGGGCCUUAAAGCAUUAGUAGACAAAAAGAUUCAAAGCACUAGAAUCCCCACUCAAUAGUUUUGUUAGGGAGUUCAUAAUCUUCAUUUAAAGUUACUUCUUAAUAAGUAAUAACUCACAUGGAAAUAUAAUUUUAUUUUACAUCAAUACUUUGCUAUUAGCAGAUGAGAUUUAAGUUGCAUAUUGUAAUCAAUAAUUUGCUAUUAUGCAGAGGCAUUUGUAUGGGGUCCUAAAAUUAAAGAACAAGUGAAGAAAGCAGGUGAAAAAAACUUUCAUAACUAAUAACAUAAUUUAUUAUUGUAACACCCGAAGUCUGGAAGGCCAAGAAAGGAAAGAAAACCCUAAUUUUAAAGGGUGACUCGGCGAGUCCAAGGAUGAACUCGGCGAGUCCGAGCGGGAUCCGAGUCGAGGAGUAAGUGACCGAAUCGGCAAGUCGGCCAAGGGGACUCGACGAGUCUGGUCUGCGCGAGGAAAACCCUAAAAUCGGGACUUGGAGCCUAUUUAAACGUCUCAUUCUCUCCCCUAGGGUGCCUUUACUGCCUCUUUCACCCAUAACACCAAACCCUAGUCGCCUUAUUCAUUGAUUGAGCCAAUUGGUGCCUUGAAGAGUGCAUUAAGCUUGGAGAAGGAAGAAGGAUCUUGGAGGUACAAGAAGGGGCUAUAGAUCCGGGAUUGGGAAGAUAUUUCUGAGAAUUUGGAGGUAAUAAAAUAGUUCUUGGACUCCUUUGCACCUAGAUCUAUGUGUGUGUUUUGGGCAUUCUUGGCAUGAUAGUAACCACUCGAGCUAGGGGUUCAGAUCUGAGGUUGCUACCUCAGAUCCAUGCUUAUUUUGGUCUAGAAUCCCGUAAAGUAUCAGCUCUUGGUAUAUUGGUGAAGCAUGGUUGUCAUAAACCCUAGUUUAUGGUGUAUUUUGCCUAGAUCUCCUUCUCUACACGUAAAGUUUGCAACUUUACGUGAGGAAUAGGCUUGGGAAGGGUAGAUCUAUAGUUUGGAGUCCAUGCAUGACUCAAAAGUCCUCUGCAUGUAAGGAGAUCUGAAUGGACUCGGCGAGUCCUUUGAGUGGACUCAGCGAGUAGCAUGAAGGUGAGGAGCAACUCGACGAGUGGGAUGAACGGCUCGUCGAGUCAGAUGAAGAUUGCCUUGUACUCGGCGAGUCUGUUCUUGGACUCAGCGAGUCAGGUUGCGAAACCCCAAACCCUUUGAGUUGAGACUCGAAUCAGUGAGUCGGGUGGAGACUCGGUGAGUUGGACAGGUCAGGACUCAGAAAUCGGUAGACUCGGCGAGUCAUGGACUGACUCGGNGACAUGGACCGACUCAGCGAGUCGAGACGCAAAUGGAAGGAAUCUGAACAUUUGAACUUGGCGAGUCAGUAGGGUGACUCGGCGAGUAGGGUUGACCUGGAAGGUUGACUUUGACCAGGACUUUGACUUUGACCAGAGUUGACUUGGUUGUCUUUCGGGGAUCAGUUAGACUCAGUGUUGCUUUGAUAUUGGUAGUUCGGGGAGCAAGGGGAGCAGGAGUUCAGUGAGUUGUCGGGCAGCAGCUAGUGAGAUCAUCAGCAAGUUCAGCCAGUGCAGGUGAGUUUCCCUUUGUGUGAAUGGGUCUAAGGGCACAAUGCUGGUACAUGUAGUUAUGAGUUGAAGACCCAGGGGUUAGCCCUAGGCACAAUAUGCUAAUAUGAUUUUCAGGACGAGGUCCCUUAAUAGCGGGCGGGUGCCCAAGGAUUUGUUUAUAUGAUAGUCUAUACUUGUUGUCUGUGUGAUACAUGUAUGUGUCUCGUAGGGAGGUGAGUGUAGGCGAGGUCCUGUAUCUCACCAAUAGCAGAGUGUGGAUGGUGUUCCACAUCUCAUUAGUAGCAGAACAGGGGCGAGGCCCAAGCUAGAAAGGGAGUGAGAGUGGGCUGGGCCCGUAUCUCACUACCAGUAGGAGCGUGGACGGGGUUCCAUGACUCAUCAGUAGCAAGACAAGGGCGAGGCCCGAGAUAGGCGAGGCCUUAGGAUAGGAUCAUUCGUAUGAGUUUAACUUAUGUGUUGUGAUAUGUUAUGAUAUUAUUAGUUGGCGGGUGGCACCCUGUGAUAGGCGAGGCCUAAGUAAAACAGAUAUGUAUCCGAGCGGGGCUCGAAGCCAGGCGGGGCCUGGAGCGGUGGGGCAGUUAUAGCGGGGGAGGCCCGAGGCAGGGGGCGAGGCCCAAGAUAGCGGGCGUGGCCCAGUAUGUGCAGUAUGUGAUUAUGCAUUGUAUGUGGUAGGGUGGGGAACUCACUAAGCUUCUUGCUUAUGGUUUCCAGUUUUGGUUUCAGGUACUUCCGGUAGCGGAGGGAAGAGCUCGGGGUGAUCGCAUGGCACACACCAUUGAUUAGGCAGCCUGGGAAUGUUUACUCUGAUAAUGAACAUGUGUUUUAAAAAUUUAUACUUUGAUUAUGUUUUGGAAUGAUGACUUUUCUUAAAGUAAUGUUUUAUUAAAAGAAAUUUUUGGUCUUGAAUUUUGGGUCGUUACAAGUUGGUAUCAGAGCCUUGGUUUGAGGGAUUCGGACAUGCUCUCGGGAGUGUCUGAACUCUAACUGAGGAAUUGGUAUAAAAUUUUUCAAAAUGAAAAGACAGUUUUGUAAAAAGAGAGUUUUGAGAAAGAACAUAGUUUUAGAAAAGCAAAAAGAAUUCAGAAAGAAAAGAACUUUGAAAAGAGAAAAGAGGUGUGGUGCAUGCAAUCAACCGAGCUCAAGUAAGUACCCCAAAAUACCCAUACAAGUCUAUGUUUUGAUUAUCAGUUNNNNNNNNNNNNNNNNNNNNNNNNNNNNNNNNNNNNNNNNNNNNNNNNNNNNNNNNNNNNNNNNNNNNNNNNNNNNNNNNNNNNNNNNNNNNNNNNNNNNNNNNNNNNNNNNNNNNNNNNNNNNNNNNNNNNNNNNNNNNNNNNNNNNNNNNNNNNNNNNNNNNNNNNNNNNNNNNNNNNNNNNNNNNNNNNNNNNNNNNNNNNNNNNNNNNNNNNNNNNNNNNNNNNNNNNNNNNNNNNNNNNNNNNNNNNNNNNNNNNNNNNNNNNNNNNNNNNNNNNNNNNNNNNNNNNNNNNNNNNNNNNNNNNNNNNNNNNNNNNNNNNNNNNNNNNNNNNNNNNNNNNNNNNNNNNNNNNNNNNNNNNNNNNNNNNNNNNNNNNNNNNNNNNNNNNNNNNNNNNNNNNNNNNNNNNNNNNNNNNNNNNNNNNNNNNNNNNNNNNNNNNNNNNNNNNNNNNNNNNNNNNNNNNNNNNNNNNNNNNNNNNNNNNNNNNNNNNNNNNNNNNNNNNNNNNNNNNNNNNNNNNNNNNNNNNNNNNNNNNNNNNNNNNNNNNNNNNNNNNNNNNNNNNNNNNNNNNNNNNNNNNNNNNNNNNNNNNNNNNNNNNNNNNNNNNNNNNNNNNNNNNNNNNNNNNNNNNNNNNNNNNNNNNNNNNNNNNNNNNNNNNNNNNNNNNNNNNNNNNNNNNNNNNNNNNNNNNNNNNNNNNNNNNNNNNNNNNNNNNNNNNNNNNUUACAAGUCUGAUCUUUGAACAGGUUUUUACGAUCAUAAUGGACGCGACACAAUCAAACCUUAUUAAUAUUUCCAACAGCAUUGGUUCGACGACAAAGAUUCCGAUCUUAUACACCCAUGACUAUGAAGUAUGGGCACAUCACUUCGAAGACUACGUUAUUGGAUCGGAGGAUAAUGGGUAUCUCAUUUGGGAAGCCAUCACCAAUGGACCGUUUUCUCAUUCUGCAACGUCCAGAAUCAUCAAGACACAAAAAGAGUACAAUGAUCUGCUAAAGGACGUGAAAGAUAUUGCACAAGAUGAAAAGGAUAAGUUCCAGUGCAAUAUCAAGGCAUUAAGGUUGAUCAGGUUCGCCCUUCAGUCCGAUACAUUCAGAUUGGUUAGCUCAUGCACGACGGCAAAGGAUGUUUGGGAUAGACUUCGCGAACUGUAUUCUACAAACGAGGAUCUUGAACAUUCUAUUCAAACUUUGCUCCUAUCUGAGUUUGGAGAAUUCAGGCAAGGGGUUGAAGAAACUGUGACCCAGACGUUCGAUCGCUUCAAUCAUCUUCUUAGCAAGAUGAUCAAACACGAUAUUGAAAGGAAGCUUAUCGAACAGAAGGUUACAUUCCUGAAUGGUCUGAGGUCUGAAUGGAGAGCAGUGGUUUCCACAGUUAAAGCCCAUGAGCAGUUUAAAUCAUAUUCUUUGGCGAAACUGGUGGGUAUUCUCAAGUCCCAAGAGAAGAUUGUGCUGCAAGAAAAGAACGUCGUUUCCAAUCUCAGUUCGUUGGCCCUCCUGUCAAAAAGUAAAGCUGUUAUGGAGGAUGAAGACCUCAACCUGGAGGAAUAUGAUCUCACAUCAGAGGAUUAUGCCAUGAUGGUGUCCAAUCCCAAGAGGUUCAUAAAGAAGAGAUUCCCCAGCAACAAAAACCGAAGCUGGCAGGGGAGUUACAACUCUGAAAAAGUGAUUAAUGAACUGAAAGCUGAGGAGCACAAGAAGGAACCGAAGGUGGAUGGUGAUUCUGGAGUAAGUUGUUUCUACUGUGGUGGGAAAAAUCAUUAUGGUAAGGACUGUGUCCUUAAGAAAAUGGCUGAAAAAGACGAUGGGAAUGACGAGGAAGCCGUGUUGCAGAAAAGACUGGACGAGUUGAGAAAGAAGAAGUCUACCGCUAACCCUCCUAUUAAUGCUCGUAUUGUGCAGGGUUCGGUUCAAGGUGAUGAGUUAGGUAGCACGGAAGUUUGGUCUACCGACUCAGAAGACGAGGAAGUAAGGCAGCCUACCCAUGGAAAGGCUUACAUGUCUAGGGAAGAAAGCAGUGGUGAAAGAUGCUUCAUGGUAACUGACGUAUCUCAUAUGAGGGGAUACAACACCGAUGGAGGCAGUGAUGGACCGAAGGCAAAGGAGGACAUAUGCUUUACGGCCAAACCGCUCAGCCAGCAGUUCAAUGAGCUCGAUGAACUGAUAAAGAAGGUACAAUCUGUUUUUAUUUCAUGCAAAGUACCAUCAUCCUCUUAUGAGAAAGAACUAAAAAACGUCAAUACAAGAAUUUCUCAUCUAGAUAGUAGCUUAACUCAAACUCGGGUCACAAAUUCUAACCUAACUGAUCAAUUGAGCAGGGCGGCGUCGAAGAGUGAGGAGCGGAGAAUGUGGAUAGAGUUAAAGGAGUCGGAAUUAGUCAAAGUUAAAGAUGAAAACAUUUAUUUGCAAAGAGACAAUUUAAAAUUGUUAAAACAACGAAAUGUUUUUUGUUUAAUUGCUAAACGUCUGUAUUCUAAUAUUACUCAGCUUCACUUGAAUUGUGAAAUAGGCCAAAAGAUUCACCGCAUGAUUUUGCCCUUCCUAGAGUUUAAGGAAGAUGAAAUCGAUGCCGAAGCCUAUAAUUGUGAGAGUGUAAUAUCGUCUGAUGAUGUCAAUCCGACUUACAUGUAUGGACUGGAAAAAAUUGAGUCCUUCAUUAAAUCCAAAGACCACAAAGACAUGCUUAAAAAUCUUUUGCAUGAAAAUGACAAACUUAAACUGAGAACCGAAACCAUACAAAAAUUUGACUCUUUAAACGCCAACGUAAGCUCAGAAAACAAAAUUGAUGUUAAAAAUGCAUCUGAGCUUAAUGAGGACGAUAACAUGAGCGAAAUUUCUGUAGAGGACACGGUUGACUGCUCAGAAUUUGUUAAAACCGAACCUGAAAAUCACAAGAAUUUAAUUUCUGAAAACUCAGUGGAGUUCGCUCGGUUGUCCCAUCAAAAGUUCCCAAAAUUAGUUGAGAAAGCUGUUGUGUAUCAAAAGGUCAGGACCACGCCGAAUCAAGUUUACAAGGUGACAGGAGUAACCGAACAUCAAACAGCUGAACUCGUAGCCAUUGUAAACGAAGAUAAUGCUGAUGGCUGUGAUGAGUACUUCUGGGAAGCUCCAAAUGAUAAUGCAGACGAAACCAUUGGUUUAUCUGAAAGAACUUCCUGGAAGAGCAAAGGAAGAUACAUACCUGAGCCCUUGAAUAAGCCGAACAACUUCGAUGAGCUGAGCACCAGUGGUACAAAAGAUAUUCCUCAGAAGAAUGAUCACUCGGCAAAAGAAGACAUUCCCUCUGUUCCUUCGGCUCAAAGUAACGCUCCUAUAGUUCAAAAGGAACUUGCCAAAGAAACACCGAAUACAAAAGCAAAUGUUCAUCAUCAACCUUCUCAGAUGAGGAACACGAAGUGAGAAAGAAACAACAGAUACCGAAAGAACCUUUCUAAAAGGAAACAAUUCUGGCAUUCCCAGAAUGCAUAUUUCACUCAUCAAGACAAGAAUCUGAAGUAUGAAAACAAUCCUGGAGGAAAGCUUGAAAGUCACAAAAACCGAAAGCCAAGGUUCGGUUCCGAAAAGGACUCCAACCAGAACCAAAGGUCCGGUUCCAAAGACAGCUCCAACCGAACGCAGAAGUUUGGUUCUGAAGUCAAAAGAGAACAAGACUCUAAGGUCAGUCCCACCAAUGAUCAAAAGCAAAAGGAUCACCUAGAGUCACCAGCCAGAACUUCGAGACCAUCAAAAAGUUCUGUUGGAUCAACGGAAGAUAACCGAAAGCAGAGUCUCGGUUCUGAGCAAAACAACAACCGAACGCACAGGUUCGAUUCAGAGAGCAAAAGAGACCAAAAAUCUAGGUUCGGUUCCACUAAUAAUCAAAACCGAAAGAGUCACCUAGAAUAUCAGAUUAAGAAAUCAUCUGCGUCUAAAUUCUCUCAUUCUAAUUCUCAUUCUUCUUCUCAAUCUCAUACUAAUUCUUCCAAUCAUUCCUCUUAUCAAUCUCAUUCAUCAGUUGAGCAAAAUGGAAGCAGAAGGUCGAUAAAUCCAAACCAGAGUCUAAAUCUAUCUCACCUAAUCUCAACAAAAUAAAGGUUUACACCAUUAAAAGGAAAGAUAAAACAACUCUUAUAAAAAGAACUUAUCUUGUUGAUGUCUCUCUCAUUGUUCCAGUUCCCAUGCAAAGCUCACGUGGACCCAAGAAGCUUUGGGUUCCUAAAUCUGCUUAAUUUUUGCAGGUUAUUAGUGACGAGCAGUUUGACGAAGAAUGGUAUAUUGAUAGUGGCUGCUCACGUCACAUGACAGGGAGGAGAGAGGAGCUAAGGGAAUACAGAUCUCUCGCAAAUGGUGGCAACGUCAAGUUUGGAAACAAUUCAUUCGGCACCAUAAAGGGAUACGGGAUGAUCACAAAUGGGGACUUUACUAUAAGGAAGGUGGCUUAUGUGGAAGGACUCCAACACAACCUCAUCAGUGUAUCUCAGCUUGUUGGAGGUACAGGUCUCAAAGUCUCAUUCGACGAUGAAGGUUCUGAAAUUAUAGAGAAAAAGUCAAAGAAAGUGAUUCUGAAGUCAGAACGAAAGGGUGAAAUGUUUCCCGUAAACAUGAAACCCAUUAAAGGAAACCCAGCUGUAUGCCUGUUGUCAAAAGCUCAAUCCGACGAAAGCUGGUUGUGGCACCGAAGACUCUCCCAUCUCAAUUUUAAAGAUAUCAAUCGUCUUGUCACUGGAGGUCAUGUUAGGGGUCUUCCAUUGCUCAAGUUCGAUAAGGAUCAUCUGUGUGCUGCAUGCGAAAUGGGGAAGCAGAGUCGUCAAAGUCAUCCAUCUAUAAUCAACACAAAAGUUGUUGAACCACUCGAAUUACUUCAUAUUGAUUUGUGUGGUCCUUCAUCUAUCGAAAGCAUCGGUGGUAGCAAGUAUAUUCUUGUUAUCGUUGAUGACUUUUCACGAUUUACAUGGGUGUUCUUUCUAAAGCUCAAAUCCGAAGCGACUCAAAAGCUGAAAGUGUUUAUCAAGCAAAUUGAAAUACAGCUCAAGAAGGUUGUUCGCAACAUCAGAAGCGACAAUGGUCUCGAAUUCAAGAACAGGGAGUUUGAAGAGUUUCUUGCAGAAAAGGGAAUCAGUCACAAUUUCUCAGCUCCCUACACACCGCAACAGAAUGGAAUAGUCGAAAGACGAAACCGAUCUUUGUGUGAAGCUGCCCGAACUAUGCUAAGUUUCGCUUCCUUACCUCUUUAUUUUUGGGCUGACGCUAUAUCUGCUGCUUGUUUUACACAGAACAGGUCAUAUCUCAACAAAAGGUUCGCACUUACUCCAUAUGAGAUACUGAACAACAGGAAGCCGAAUGUGAAAUUUUUCCAUGUCUUCGGCUUGAGGUGUUUCAUCUUCAAUUCUAAAGAAAACCGCAACAAGUUUGAUGUCAAAGCCGACGAGGGAAUAUUUAUGGGUUACUCGCUCACAUCCAAGGCAUUCAGGAUCCUAAACAAGCGUUCGAGAAAGAUUGAAGAGACGUACUAUGUGACCUUUGAUGACAUCUAUGUCAAGAAGCUAAAGGCUAAAGAAGAUAUCAACGAUGAAAUCUUUCCUUUAAAUGGCCAGGUUACUGUCUCGGUCGCUAACUUAUUCGAGACAUUCAUGGACCUCUUCGACGAACCAGAGAAUGCUUCACUCUCUGAAGCAGGUGCAGCGGACAACAAAGUUGAUCACAUGGAGCAGAUUGUCAAUGAUGCUGCAAGAAGAAUGCAUGAAGAAAUAUCAACCUCUAACGACUCUUCGUCCAACAACGCUCAAAUCGAGGGGGAGCCAAACGCUCAAGUCGAGGGGGAGCCAAACGCUCAAGUCCAGGGGGAGCCAAAUUCUACAACUUCAACCGAAGAGGCAUCAACACCAGGAAGCUCAGAACCACAAGAACCACCAGAACCUCAAGUCUCCCAAAGUACAUCAACUGAGGCGGAACAUAAUGAUGUGACACUCGGUUACGAUAGCCAAUUUGAGCCAGACGAAAUAAUUAAUGUUGAACUAGACCCAACCUUUGAUCCAAAUUACCCUCCUCUUAUCAAAUGGACCAGAGAUCAUCCUGUCUCUCAAGUAGUUGGAGAUAUCUCUGAAAAGGUUUUGACCCGAUCACAACUGAAGGCAAAACAGACUUCCUUAUUUUCAAAGGUUGAGUAUUGUAUGUUCAAUUCAUUCGUAUCAAAAGUUGAACCGAAGACAGUUAACACUGCCCUUGAUCACUCUGAUUGGGUUCAAGCAAUGCAAGAUGAACUGAACGAAUUUGAAAGGAACAAAGUCUGGCGUCUCAUUCCAACUCCUCCAAAUGCUUCAGUUGUUGGUCUCAAAUGGGUUUUCAGGAACAAAAUGGACAAGGAAGGUAAUGUUAUAAGAAACAAGGCUCGUCUGGUGGUAAAGGGAUAUUGUCAGGAGGAAGGGAUAGACUAUGAAGAGACUUUCGCUCCAGUAGCUAGGCUAGAAUAUGUUAGAAUAUUUCUAGCUUAUGCUGCUCACAAGAACUUUGAGGUUUUCCAAAUGGACGUCAAGUGUGCAUUUCUCAAUGGAGAACUCGAAGAAACGGUGUACGUAGAGCAACCUCCUGGGUUCGUGAACGAAAAGCAUCCAAAUCAUUGCUACGUUCUGGAUAAAGCUGUGUACGGCCUUAAGCAAGCUCCGAGAGCCUGGUAUGAAACGCUUACAAAAUUUUUAAAGAUGUCUAAAUUCAAACAAGGUUCAGUUGACCCAACCUUAUUUCGCAAAAAGGAAGGUAACCACCUUAUGAUAGUUCAAAUUUAUGUCGAUGACAUCAUCUUUGGCUCCACGAAUCCCAGCUUAACAGCUGAAUUCAGAAAGCUGAUGGAGACUAAGUUUGAAAUGAGCUCAAUGGGUCCUAUUAAUUUAAUCCUUGGUUUAAACAUUAGACAGGGACCCGAAGGCAUCUUUAUUAAUCAGGAAGCUUACACAAAAACUCUUCUAGCAAAGUUUGGCAUGAUGGGUGACUCAAAAGUCAAAGUUCCAAUGGCAUUCGGCACCAAGCUUACCCCAUCUCUAGACAAACCGGCUGUCGAUAUCACGCUCUAUCGUCAAAUGAUUGGCUCUCUGAUGUAUCUAACUGCUAGCAGGCCUGAUAUCAUGUUUUCUGUGUGUUAUUGUGCUAGAUUUCAGGCUAACCCACGUGAACCUCACAUGCUUGCGGUUAAGAAUAUCUUACGCUAUCUCAAGCGAACCACCUCCUUAGGUCUAUGGUAUCCAUCCAACUCAGGCUUCUUUGUUCAAGCCUAUUCUGAUGCUGACCUUGGAGGAUGUGGACUCGACCGUAAAAGCACAACUGGUGGUUGUCAAUUUCUUGACGGGAAGUUAGUCAGUUGGCAAUCCAAGAAACAAACGUGCGUGUCAUUGUCUACUGCCGAAGCGGAAUAUAUUGCAGCUACAUCCUGCACAUCACAAGUGAUUUGGAUCCAAAGUCAACUUCGAGACUACGGACUCAAUAUGAAGAAGAUCCCACUAUAUUGUGAUUCUGAAAGUGCAAUUAGGAUCUGUCAUAACCCAGUGCAACACUCCAAAACCAAACACAUAGCACUGAGGUAUCACUUCAUCAAAGAUCACGUGGAAGAUGGAAACGUCGAAGUUCACUUCGUAAGAACCACUGAUCAACUGGCUGACGUCUUUACAAAAGCCCUUCCUGAAGCAACAUUCAAUAAAAUAUUGCAAGGCUUAGGUAUGAUGGUUGCAGAAUCGGUCCCAAAUCCUCAAGUCUCUAUUUAAAAAAAAAAAAAAAAAAAAAAAGGAACUGAAGCAACCAGACCGCUCUGUUGCUUUCUGCUCUAACUUUUUAACAGAACCGAACCACACAGACCGCUCGGUCUCUCUCUGAUCUCAAAGACUUAAGGUACCCGAACCAAACAGACCGCUCGGUCUCUCUCUGAUCUCAAAGAAUUUAGGUACCCGAACCACACAGACCGCUCGGUCUCUCUCUGAUCUCAAAAAAUUAAGGUACCUGAACCAAACAGACCGCUCGGUCUCUCUCUGAUCUGAAGACUUCAUGCACCCGAACCAAACAAACCGCUCGGUCUCUCUCUGAUCUGAAGACUUAAGGUAACAGAACCACACAGACCGCUCGGUCUCUCUCGGUCUCUGUUAUAUAAAAGCGCUCAUGCUAUCAGCACGCUCGGUCUCUCACUGUUCUAAAAGAUUCACGGAACCAAUCCAAUCCGACCGCUCGGUUCUUCUCGAUUAUGAAACUAUCACCGAAAUACACAGAUCGAUCGGUCUAUCUCUGCUUCUUAAUUUUGCACAUAUUUUAUCUCUCUGUUUUUAAAUUUUUUUGAAAAUUCCAAAAUUACAAAAAUAUUUUGUCUUUCCGUUUUUAUUUAUCUCUCAGAAAAUUUCAAAAUUACAAAAACAUUUUAUCUUUCUAGUAUGUGUUCGUUUUACUCAGGUGAAUACAAGCAUCUCUAUAUGUAAUGUUCAUCCAGGUAUGUUUUAUUUUUAUCAAACUAGUUAGAUGUCCCUAGAAGCAUGCUGCUGUAUGUUGUCGCAAGUCUCUAUGACCUCGAGCAUGCCUUAAUGAUUCGAUCAAUACUUAUCGUCUCUUCCCAAUCAGGCUAUUCUCUCAUACUCGGUCUAGAGCUACCUUCUUUUACUCAUCUGAAACAUGAGUUGCUCUGCUUUGUCCGAUUUCUGUAGCAGAAGGUACACUCGGUCUCUUAACCACCUCCUCAAAUUCUCCAUUUAUCUUCGAUUCCAUAACGUAACCCUUGAUGCUCUCGGUCUUUACCACUAAGGCUUAUGGUUACACAAUCUCUGUGUUUAUGAUCUUGGAUUCGUUUACCACGUUCCUCGUGAAACCCAAAAUCCAAUACCUAAAAUGAAUUGACGGUGAGUGAUAUACUCAAGCUUUUACUUAGAAAUCUCAUUUUUUUUAUCAUCUCUAAUGAAAUCGUCUCUUCCUAAGACAUUUCUACCCAAAGAGGUCCAGUUUAUUUUUUUUGAGAUUUCUCUUUCAUCCCAUGCCUGUCACUAAAUAAUUCCCUCCUACCUGUUCAACAGAUCACAUCGAUCUCACCGGUACCUCUGCCAACACUCAGUUUUAUGUUGAAACUUGAGGUUCGGUUCGAGGAAAGCCACCCCUAGCCUAUGAUCAAAAGAUGCCUUUCAUUGUUUCUUUACAAACAAUUGAUCGUAUUUCGAGGGAAACCACACAAGCACUUCAAGUCUCUCUUGACUUUGAAGGAAGUGAUUCUUGCCCGGAAUCUUCUGCCUUCUGUCUUCUACACAGACAUCACUUACUCCCACACACCUUUGCUUUAUUUCUCUCUUCUUCACACUCUAAUGCACGAAAAUUCAUUUUUUCAACAUUCUGAUUGGUGGUUGGUAUAUCGUUUAAGUUACAGAUGCAACCAAACAGGGGCGCAAGGGAUUUCAAACGGUACAAAAGUACGAUUUGGGCGCGUGCAGAUGAUUCGUUUCCACCCACGUACACUGACGUAUUCAUGGGAUACACCAUAACUUCCAAUCGCGCUUUUUCAGGCGACGUUUUGGUUUCAUCAUCAUCACGAUUUUCUCUCUCCUAUGAACGGUAUAAAUAAGGCGUGAUCGUGUUCUUUGGCAUUUACCUCUCAAGAAUUCUCUCUCUGAAAAAAUAACCACUGUUCAUCUUCUUCUCCAACUCAACAAUGGCGGCUUCUUCUUCCGUACAAGAUCAAACCGCAACCUCUUCGUUGCUCUCAAUCAAACCUAAUCAAAAUUUGAUCAUAGAGAUGAACCCAUUCUUAUAUGAUUCAUACAUGCUCCACGUGGUGGAAUGCCUCAAAUAUUCCCCACUGUUGGUGGCACUUACGCAAGUGGAGGCCAUUCCCAUGUCCCUGCUCUCCCAAGUCUACACAACGGCCAGUUAUGACAAGCACAAAGACCGCAUCUUCUUCACCAUUCACGACAAAAAGACUUCCGUUUCCAAAACACGGUUUUGCUCUCUUCUAGGGCUUGUCGUCGACUCCUCUGUCAUCUCACCGGACUUCAUCACCACCGCACAACUUUUUUCAAUGAUGUAUGAGAUGGGGUAUACGGAUGUUCUUACCACCAUUGGCAAAGUCAAGAAGUCCUGUCUUCCAUCUCAAUGGAACGGAUUGCUUACCCUUCUUAUUAAGGGUUUAUCGGAGAGAUGUGGUGGUUCUGAUACCACCAGCAAAGCGUUUCUGACCAUCCUAUAUGGUCUUUACAAUGGUAUUAAUCUCGAUUAUGGGUCCCUAAUCUGGGCUCAAGUCGUUCGAAGUCUCAACACAACUGCCAGGUACUCCGAGAUAUCAUGUGGCAGGUUUUGGACGCUUAUUACACGAAGGGCCAUGGAUUCCCUUGACAUCCCGGUAAUGAAGGAUGCUCUUACGGCUUCAAUUGCCUCUUUCCACACCAAGAAGAUCAUAGUCUCCGACCCAAGUAAGUUUCUUCACUAUGGACUGAUUCCUGAGUCCAUGUACAGGUGCGUCAUGCCACACAGCAAAAUCAUGGCUGACUACAGCACUAGCACACCCUUUCCUCCUAGGGUUCUGACUGACGAACAACGUGCUGCUCUUGAGGCCCUGGAUCAGCCUGCCAACCGAGGCAAGAGGGUGAGCAAAAAGGAAAAGGCGGAGAAGAAAGAAACCGCACCUCAAAAGGAGAGAAAGAGAAGGUCCUCCAAAUGCAAAUCCGAAGCAGAGGCACCUUCUCAAUCUAAAUCGAAAAAGGUGAAGAAGAUGGCUAAAAUCAUGGCUGACUACAGCACUAGCACACCCUUUCCUCCUAGGGUUCUGACUGACGAACAACGUGCUGCUCUUGAGGCCCUGGAUCAGCCUGCCAACCGAGGCAAGAGGGUGAGCAAAAAGGAAAAGGCGGAGAAGAAAGAAACCGCACCUCAAAAGGAGAGAAAGAGAAGGUCCUCCAAAUGCAAAUCCGAAGCAGAGGCACCUUCUCAAUCUAAAUCGAAAAAGGUGAAGAAGAUGGCUAAAAUCAUGGCUGACUACAGCACUAGCACACCCUUUCCUCCUAGGGUUCUGACUGACGAACAACGUGCUGCUCUUGAGGCCCUGGAUCAGCCUGCCAACCGAGGCAAGAGGGUGAGCAAAAAGGAAAAGGCGGAGAAGAAAGAAACCGCACCUCAAAAGGAGAGAAAGAGAAGGUCCUCCAAAUGCAAAUCCGAAGCAGAGGCACCUUCUCAAUCUAAAUCGAAAAAGGUAAAGAAGAUGGCUAAAAGAGCCAAAGGGUCUCCUUCUUCUGAAUCAGAACCGAAUGCACCCUCAGAAACAGAAGCUGCUGAUCCUCAAACAGAAACUACACCCGUUUCGUCUCCACAAAAUCCAUCCUCACCAGUAUCUCCCCAUAUUCCCAAAUCUUCCUCCCCACCUAAAUCUCCCCAAAUUACCAAAUCACCUUCUCCUCCUACUUCCCCAUAAUUUCCAACCCCAACCCAAUCACCUAAACAGAAGGUCACACGUUCUGUUCCAACAUCUAUUCCCCAAACCACAACAGAACCUAAUAUUCCGUUCUCUGUUUCUCAACCCUCAACCUCUAUCUCCACGCCCAUUAUCACCGAAUCUGUUACCAUCACCUCUACCCAACCACCAGUAACGGUCAACGUAUCUGAUACGGGGGCUGCUACUGCGGUUGAAACCCCGGUCAUCAACCUUCCUUCAUCUCCUUCUCCAUCCUCCAACUCCGGUGCUACCUUAGGGGGUGAUGAUGAAGACUUCGAUUCCAUCUACUAUAGCCCCUACCGGAUACCUACCGACACCGAUGCAGAUACCCCUGUGACAAGUCAGCAGCUUCAGGAAAUUCACGCCAAACUUGACAGUCUGCUUGCUGACAGUAAAGCUUAUGGGGGUGCUGUGCUGAAAGCAUUCAUAGAGUCUGCAAUCCAGACUUACACCGAAGCCUUGGAUCGUUCAACUGACGCAGUAGAUAACUCAGUGGCCUCAUGCUCCAAAGCCACUAAGGAAGUCUCUGAAGUUGUUCAUACAACUCAGAUCUUUCUUGACUCUCUUAAGGCUCAUGCUGACUCUAAUGCUUCCAAAUUUCAAGCGUCAGUCGACUCUUUUUCGGCUACCCUUCAGGGAGAAACCAGCAAAUUUGAGGCUCUGCGUGCUGCCCUCAAAACUGAAUCCACCUCAUUCCUCAACUCUUUGGAUUCACGUUUUGCCUCUCUGGCAGCCGAGAGCACCUUGAAGGAAGAACUUGUUAAACACCAGGCAACCAUUGACUUACAAAAGAUACAACUAGCCCAGGCUCAGCAGGAAGUUACUUUGCUACAAACUCAGCGGGCAGUUCUUCAAAGUUGUGCUGGUGACGUUAAAAAUAUGUUAACAAGUGUUCUUGACUCCCAUGAUCCCUUCCUGACCCUCACUAUUCGUCAGCAUCUCCAGGCAAAACUCCUUCCUGCAAUUACUAUCUUAAGUGAAAUGAAGGGUGUCUCGGAGAAGCUGGUUCUUCCGAGACAAGGGGGAGAGGAAGGUAUGUCCAAGACAGAACUGAAGGGUAAUGUAGCUUCGGGUUCUGGUAAACAGGUCCUGGUUGAGAGCGACUCAGAAUCAGACGAAACUAUCACUGAAGCUCUUCAACACAAGAAAAGGGACCGAGAGCUUGAUGAUACUUUAAGAAUAGCUCGUGAGGCCGAGGCCAGAGAAAGAAAAAUAAGGGAGGAUGAGGAGGCCAUUCAAGCUAAAAAGACUUUGUUCCCAGAUUGGGACAGAGACACACUCAUUACUCAAGCAAUUGAGUUUCCUUCUAUUUAUUGGUUGGAACCGAUUGCGUCUUUUGAGUGUGAAAAUUCAAAAGACUCGCAGUUCGACAUGCCCAUUACGCGGAAAGCCUUCACAUUUCACUGCUUUGAUGUCACUGCCAAUGUCCCUCAUCCAAACCCGAAGGUUGACCGAGAGCUCAUCGAUUUCUAUCUGAAAUUCGGUCAACCACAGUACUUGACAUGGAGUGCCCAGAAAAUCAUUAAAGUCAAGGUACUGAAACCAACGCAGGCUGGGAAAUUUGUAAACGUCAAUUUCAAAAUCAACAGAGGAACUGCCAACACCGAACAUCUUAUUUCUCUGGCAAAUCUUCCCAGUCUGAACCUGCAUGAUUGGAUCUUGCUAUACAACAUUCUUCUCUCCAACCAGAGAGAAUAUGAACCAAUUCUUUCUCAUCUUAAAAGAAUGUUGGCUUCCUACGUCCAUGAGCUCGCCACUAUGGAUCAGGAAAUAGCAAAAGUAAUGAACAAGAAACCGACUGUCAAGCCCACUUCAAAGACCGGAGAUAUUCAUAAAAUGAAGUUGGGGCAAAUUGAUUCAUCCAAUCUGACGGUUAUGUUCACCAGGGGCGACAAGCAUAAGUUUCUGUUUGCUUUGGUAGACAAGCAUCUGUUUUCUACAGAGUGUCUAGAGCACAUCAUCAAUAUCAUUCACCGAUGCAAACAGAACUCAACAGCAGACAAGAAGAACUUUACAGAUAUGCUUCGUUGGUAUAUUACCUUCAGGCAUCAUAUUCUGGCUUUGAUACCGAAAUUUUUUGAAACGGUAAAGAAGCCCUCUGCUUUGAAAAGAGAAUGAAGGUCUCGCUCCAAAUUGAUGCAAAGGGGGAGAUUGUUGGGCUUUGAAGAUUGCGUCUUUUGGGCUCGUUUGUUUAGGCUAUUUUGUAAUCCGGUUUGGGCCUGUCCAACCGUGAAGCCUUUUAUGCUUUGUAUAUAAGAUUACGCAUGCAUGCAUAUUAGGUUAAGGUUUCAGAGAUCUGAGAACAGUGAUUCAUCUAGACGAUAACAGGUUUCUUUGAAAUCGUUCUUGUAACCUUCCAAUCCUCUACAGUUGAUGUUCUUAAUCGAGCUCUUCUGAGGAUUUUGUUUAAUCAUUCGACACGUUUGAUUCUAUCUUGUCUUGUUCUUAUAGUUGUGUUCAUAUCGUCUUAUUUACUUACUUGUUCAAGAUCUAAUCGAUCUUUAUAGAUUAACAGUUUGUUUGAAAUUGGUUUGGGCCUGUCCAACCGUGAAGCCUUUUAUGCUUUGUAUAUAAGAUUACGCAUGCAUGCAUAUUAGGUUAAGGUUUCAGAGAUCUGAGAACAGUGAUUCAUCUAGACGAUAACAGGUUUCUUUGAAAUCGUUCUUGUAACCUUCCAAUCCUCUACAGUUGAUGUUCUUAAUCGAGCUCUUCUGAGGAUUUUGUUUAAUCAUUCGACACUUUUGAUUCUAUCUUGUCUUGUUCUUAUAGUUGUGUUCAUAUCGUCUUAUUUACUUACUUGUUCAAGAUCUAAUCGAUCUUUAUAGAUUAACAGUUUGUUUGAAAUCAACAAUUGGUAUCAGAGCAGGAGGCUGUGUAAUUGAUACACAUCUUUUCUGUGAAAAAGAUUUCCAUUAGGGUUUUUCCGCAAUCAUCAAUAUUUAUUGAGCCGUCAUCUCUUUAUUGACGUAUCUUGAUAUUUAUUAUUUUGCCCUAAUCUGCUUUAUUACAAGUCUGAUCUUUGAACAGGUUUUUACGAUCAUAAUGGACGCGACACAAUCAAAUCUUAUUAAUAUUUCCAACAGCAUUGGUUCGACGACAAAGAUUCCGAUCUUAUACACCCAUGACUAUGAAGUAUGGGCACAUCACUUUGAAGACUAUGUUAUCGGAUCGGAGGAGAAUGGGUAUCUUAUUUGGGAAGCCAUCACCAAUGGACCGUUUUCUCAUUCUGCAACGCCCAAAAUCAUCAAGACUCAAAAAGAAUACAACGAUCUGCUAAAGGAUGUGAGAGAUAUUGCACAAGAUGAAAAGGAUAAGUUCCAAUGCAAUAUCAAGGCAUUAAGAUUGAUCAGGUUCGCCCUUCAGUCCGAUACAUUCAGAUUGGUUAGCUCAUGCACGACGGCAAAGGAUGUUUGGGAUAGACUUCGCGAACUGUAUUCAACAGACGAAGAUCUCGAACAUUCUAUUCAAACUUUGCUUCUAUCUGAAUUUGGAGAAUUCAGGCAAGGGGUUGAAGAAACUGUGACCCAGACGUUCGAUCGCUUCAAUCAUCUUCUCAGCAAGAUGAUCAAACAUGAUAUUGAAAGGAAGCUCAUCGAACAGAAGGUUACAUUCCUGAAUGGUCUGAGGUCUGAAUGGAGAGCAGUAGUUUCCACAGUUAAAGCCCAUGAGCAGUUUAAAUCAUACUCUUUGGCGAAACUGGUGGGAAUUCUCAAGUCCCAAGAGAAGAUUGUGGUGCAAGAAAAGAACAUUGUUUCCAAUCUCGGUUCGUUGGCCCUCCUGUCAAAAAGUAAAGCUGUGAUGGAGGAUGAGGACCUCAACUUGGAAGAAUAUGAUCUCACAUCAGAGGAUUAUGCCAUGAUGGUGUCCAAUCCCAAAAAGUUCAUAAAGAAGAGAUUCCCCAGCAACAAAAACCGAAACUGGCAGGGGAGUUAUAGUUCCGAAAAGGUGGUUAAUGAACCGAAAGCUGAGGAGCACAAGAAGGAACCGAAAGUAGAUGGCGACUCUGGAGUAAGCUGUUACUAUUGUGGUGGGAAAAAUCAUUAUGCUAAGGACUGUAUCCUUAAGAAAAUGGCUGAAAAAGAUGAUGGGAAUAACGAAGAAGACGUGUUGCAGAGAAGACUAGACGAGUUGAGAAAGAAGAAGUCUACUGCUAACCCGCCUAUUAAUGCUCUUAUUGUGCAGGGUUCUGUUCAAGGUGACGAGUUCGGUAGCACGGAAGUUUGGUCUACCGACUCAGAAGACGAGGAAGUGAGGCAACCUUCUCAUGCAAAGGCCUAUAUGACUAAGGAGGGAAGCAGUGGUGGAAGAUGCUUCAUGGUUACUGACGUAUCUCAAAUGAGGGGAUACAACACCGAUGGAGGCUGUGAUGGACAGAAGGAAAAGGAGGACAUGUGCUUUACAGCCAAACCGCUCAGCCAGCAGUUCAAUGAGCUCGAUGAACUGAUAAAGAAGGUACAAUCUGUUUUUAUUUCAUGCAAAGUACCAUCAUCCUCUUAUGAGAAAGAACUAAAAAACGUCAAUACAAGAAUUUCUCAUCUAGAUAGUAGCUUAACUCAAACUCGGGUCACAAAUUCUAACCUAACUGAUCAAUUGAGCAGGGCGGCGUCGAAGAGUGAGGAGCGGAGAAUGUGGAUAGAGUUAAAGGAGUCGGAAUUAGUCAAAGUUAAAGAUGAAAACAUUUAUUUGCAAAGAGACAAUUUAAAAUUGUUAAAACAACGAAAUGUUUUUUGUUUAAUUGUGAAACGUCUGUAUUCUAAUAUUACUCAGCUUCACUUGAAUUGUGAAAUAGGCCAAAAGAUUCACCGCAUGAUUUUGCCCUUCCUAGAGUUUAAGGAAGAUGAAAUCGAUGCCGAAGCCUAUAAUUGUGAGAGUGUAAUAUCGUCUGAUGAUGUCAAUCCGACUUACAUGUAUGGACUGGAAAAAAUUGAGUCCUUCAUUAAAUCCAAAGACCACAAAGACAUGCUUAAAAAUCUUUUGCAUGAAAAUGACAAACUUAAACUGAGAACCGAAACCNGUGUUGGAUUUGGUCCUAUUGCGCAGCUCUCGUUUGAGUCUAACCAUUGUAGGAACGAGUCUUUUACUUGAAGGAUUAUCUAAGCCUCAUCAUAUGUGAUGGUAUCCAGGUGAUGGCUAGUUGGCAUCACAAGGAAACCUUCAGCAGCUGAGGGCAGGUUUGAGUUGAGUCAUAGGUUUCUCUAGGGUAAGCCUAGGAUGAGGUAGUGCUGGGAGCAGUAGUAGUAGAAAAGGGACCUGGUGGAGUCGAAGCAGUUCUUGAGGAAAGUACGGAUAGAUGUGGAAGGUAGUAUGGUCCCGUACUACUGAAAGCAGAGGAUCCGUACUCGAUUCGGGAAAGGCCAAGACAAGACCGGAAACUUGGUAGUGAGUAUGUUUGGUCUCGUAGUAGUGAGGAGUAUUCUGAUAGUGGUUAUGUUAUAUGUUUCAGUAUGGUGACGUUGCGAGAGAGACCAGAGGGCGGAUCAGGCACCGGAGAGGGAUCGGGCUCGGGUUCAGGGGCCGAGCAGCUCGAGGAGCGGAUGAGAGAGUUGAUAUCAGCUGAGGUUACGCGCAGUAUUCUAGCUCAGACUCCUGUGAUCUUUGGCACGGUCAAGGAGGGUAUAUUGGAGAUUUUGGAUGAGAGGCUGGGAGCCUUCCGUACUGAGAUGAUGGCAUUGAUGGGAGCGCGUACCUUGACAUUUCGGGAGUUUAAGGUUUGCAGGGCACCAGAUUAUCAUGGGGCUAGGGGCCCCAUCGCUAGCAGCAGAUGGUUGGCUGAUGUUGCCAAAGCGUUCCGUACGAGCCGGUGUCCUGAGGAGGACAAGGUCAGACUCACUUCCUGUCUUCUGAAGGAUAGAGCGAGGGAUUGGUGGGAAGAGAUCGGUCAUGCUUUGGGUGAUGAUGCCGCGUUGGACGCGAUGACUUGGAGCGAUUUCUCAGCUAGGUUCAGGGCGGAGUUUUCGGCAAUUAUUGAGGUGCAACAGCUGGCCCGAGAGUUUCAGGAUUUGACGCAGACUACUGAGACUGUGGCGGAGAUCACCGCCAAGUUCAGGGAGAGGGCUCUUCUCGUACCGCAGUAUGUCGCGGAUGAGGAAAUGAAGAAGGCCCGAUAUCACGAGAUGUUGAGGGCUGACAUAAGGGAGUUCGUGGGCAGGUCCGGUUGUAAGACGUUGGAAGAUAUGAUUUCUCGGGCCAGAGAGAUGGAAAUUCAUUUGGAGCAGAUCUGGAAGAGGAAGCCGGAUGAGGUUUAGGUAGUCGCGAUUUCGGGUAAAAGGCCCAAGGGAUCGGAUUCGAGAUCGAGGGAUUAUCAGGACCGCAGUCGAUGCGGAAAGUGUGGCAGGGCGCACGGGGGCGCGUGCAAGAGUGUUAGUGGUGGUGAGUCUGGCUGCUUCAAGUGCGGUCGGACUGGUCAUUUUAGCUGGGAUUGUACUGUUACCACCACUCAGGGAUCAGACUUGAUAUGUUUUCACUACAAUUAGCGGGGCCACAAGAAGGCCCAGUGCCCCGGUUUGUUUUCAGCAGAACNCAGGACGGGUGAUGGCACCUGCCCCUGCAACCUUGAGGAUCACAGACGGCCGUCAGGGCCGUGCAGAGGCGCCUGCGGUAGGAGGCAGGGUUUUUCAGAUGGCUACCUUGGAGACGCGAGCAGUGCCGGACGUUGCAGGUAUGCGACUUCCGUUUUCAGUUCUUUUAUUUUUGCAUGAUUAUAUUGUUAUGGUUCUGCAUCAUUAUCAGUAUGAGUAUUUUAUUUUUGAGCGGUUUGAUUGUUAUCGAGUUAUAUGCCAUCUGCAUACCUUGGAUAUUUGGUUAGUAGUUAAGGGAUGGGUUCUAUCAAAGAAGGUUACUUAGGGUGCAGUAACUGUAGCAUGCGUUCGAGGGACUCGGUAUGUCUCGCUAGUUCGGAGCCGUAUAAGUUUUAGAAAUGGAUCGGUUAGAUCCCUAGCUAUGGUAAGUUUGGGAUUCCUCAGCUGAUUGAUUAUGGAAUGGUAGCAAGGAUUGGGAUUUCUAUUCAUUGAGCAGCGAGGUAUAAGCAGGAUCGAAGUGGGGGAGAAUCCUCCAAAUGUACAAGGGUAAGAGCAUGUAAAUCCAGAACGAGUACGCGAUUUCUGAGAAGGAAAAGAGGUAGUUCAACAUUUGAUGGAUUGGGUAGUUCAUGGUUGGGAGUUUGAGAAACUCCCCAUCAGUCCGUGCGUGUAAAUGGUGAUGGUGAGUAUGUGGUUCGGAUUCAGGUUGAAGGGUCGUCUGUAGGACUCGUGUGAGUCGGAAUGAAGAUCUUGAGGUCAAAUAGCAUAGGAUGCUUUCGUGUUAGUAGACAGUGGCAGAAGCAGCAUGUAGAGCAUGGAAGAAUGGUGGGAGAGCCGUAAAGUGUUGUCAGACUACGGGGCAGCCGUAGCAUUCACUAGCAGACGGCGAUAGAAGGUGAUGUAAGACCGCGGGUAAGCCGUAGCAUUCCAUAGUGGCUUCGUUGGCAGAGUUGGGGAGAGGCCCUUAUCUCCUAGCAUUCAGAUAGGGAUCAGAAUGAGUAACGGAUGAGAAUGGUAAGGAGUUUGCCUGUAUAGACCUUGAGAGGUAAGACCUUGGGAGAGGCAGCUCUAGGAUAUAGUCGGGUGAGACCCGCGGGCAAGGUCCGUAUGAGAGUAGCAGGGUAGGUGAGACCUGAGAGUAGGGUUGCUCAGUAGUAUGGUUGGGUGAGACCCGUAGGCAAGGCCCAUGCGAGAGUAGUGAGGCAAAUGAGAUUAGACGGAUAAGGGCGGGUGAGACCCGUGGGUGAGGCCCGUGAGUUUUAGCAUCACAGGUGGGACCUGGUAGGGAUCUUAGUGUCUAGAUAGGGGAUCGGGGAUCCCAGUAAAUUGUAGUGCCAACAUGGUAGAAUAGAUUGAGCAGUAUAGGUGGUUGAAGUUUCUUCGAAUGUCGCUAAGAGCGACUAGUGGUUGUGUUGGGUCAGCGAUCGGUGGGAGCCGGUAAUCCAGAUAUUGAUGGGUUAGUAGGGACCAGGGUGGUCUCAGUUCAUCUGGAAGCCAGAAAGGAAUAGCAGGAUUUCCAAUCAGUAGCAGUGCGAGUAUGCAGUGUAUGGUGGAAUUCAGUUAGUCGAUCGUGGGGUGCUCGACACCAAAUUAUAGUAAAAAGAAUGCCCAGUGGAUACUGGCGAUGAUGACCCAUACUAGGAGUAGCGGGAAUAAUAGAUUUGGUGGAGACAGGGUCUUCACAGUGGCAGAGGAGCUAGAUGGUUAUGGAGCGUUGCCUUGGGAAGGCAAGGAAAUCGCGCAAGGAAAGAAGGGAUGGACCCCUAUGGGGUCAGUGCAGUAAUUAGAGAUUACCAGAAGGAUUGUCGGUUGAGUAAGUUGUGUUUCCAGAAUGUUCAGGGUCAGGAUGGACCCGAGAUUGUUAUCCGUAAGGAUUGAUGUCAGUCUGAAUGACUGAGCGGAAGGCCAGCGAAGUUAGGCAGCUGGUGUUAGACGAAUUGGUGGGGUAUUGGAGGCAGACCGCAGGCGAUGGAUCAUAGCAAACUUCGAGGACGAAGUUUAGUUUAAGUGGGGAGAGUUGUAACACCCGAAGUCUGGAAGGCCAAGAAAGGAAAGAAAACCCUAAUUUUAAAGGGCGACUCUGCGAGUCCAAGGAUGAACUCGGCGAGUCCGAGCGGGAUCCGGGUCGAGGAGUAAGUGACCGACUCGGCGAGUCGGCCAAGGGGACUCGGUGAGUCUGGUCCGUGCGAGGAAAACCCUAAAAUCUGGACUUUGAGCCUAUUUAAACGUCUUAUUCUCUCCCCUAGGGUUGCUUUACUACCUCUUUCACCCAUAACACCAAACCCUAGUCGCUUUAUUCAUUGAUUGAGCCAAUUGGUGCCUUAAAGAGUGCAUUAAGCUUGGAGAAGGAAGAAGGAUCUUGGAGGUGCAAGAAGGGGCUAUAGAUCCGGGAUUGAGAAGAUAUUUCUGAGCAUUUGGAGGUAAUAAAAUAGUUCUUGGACUCCUUUGCACCUAGAUCUAUGUGUGUGUUUUAGGCACUCUUGGCAUGAUAGUAACCAUUCGAGAUAGGGGUUCAGAUCUGAGGUUGCUACCUCAGAUCCAUGCUUAUUUUGGUCUAGAAUCCCGUAAAGUAUCAGCUCUUGGUAUAUUGGUGAAGCAUGGUUGUCAUAAACCCUAGUUUAUGGUGUAUUUUGCCUAGAUCUCCUUCUCUACAUGUAAAGCUUGCAACUUUACGUGAGGAAUAGUCUUGGGAAGGGUAGAUCUACAGUUUGGAGUCCAUGCAUGACUCAAAAGUCCUCUGCAUGUAAGGAGAUCUGAAUGGACUCGGCGAGUCCUUUGAGUGGACUCGGCGAGUAGCAUGAAGGUGAGGAGCAACUCGACGAGUAGGAUGAACAGCUCGUCGAGUCAGAUGAAGACUGCCUUGUACUCGGCGAGUUUGUUCUUGGACUCGGAGAGUCACGUUGCGAAACCCCAAAACCUUCGAGUUAAGACUCGAAUCAGUGAGUCGGGUGGAGACACGGUAAGUUGAACACGUCAGGACUCAGAAAUCGAUAGACUCGGCGAGACAUGGACCGACUCAGCGAGUCGAGACGCAAAUGGAAGGAAUCUGAACAUUUGAACUUGGCGAGUCAGUAGGGUGACUCGGCGAGUAGGGUUGACCUGGAAGGUUGACUUUGACCAGGACUUUGACUUUGACCAGAGUUGACUUGGUUGUCUUUCGGGGGUCAUUUAGACUUAGUGUUGCUUUAAUAUUGGUAGUUCAGGGAGCAAGGGGAGCAGGAGUUCAGUGAGUUGCCGGGCAGCAGCUAGUGAGAUCAUCAGCAAGUUCAGCCAGUGCAGGUGAGUUUCCCUUUGUGUGAAUGGGUCAAAGGCAACAAUGCCGACCCAUGUAGUUAUGAGUAGAAGACCCGGGGGUUAGCCCUAGGCAUAGUAUGCUAGUAUGAUUUUCAGGACGAGGUCCCUUAAUAGCGGGCGGGUGCCCAAGGAUUUGUUUAUAUGAUAGUCUAUACUUGUUGUCUGUGUGAUACAUGUAUGUGUCUCGUAGGGAGGUGAGUGUGGGCGAGGUCCCGUAUCUCACCAAUAGCAGAGUGUGGAUGGUGUUCCACAUCUCAUUAGUAGAAGAAUAGGGGGAAGCCCAAGCUAGAAAGGGAGUGAGAGUGGGCUGGGCCCACAUCUCACUACCAGUAGGAGCGUGGACGGGGUUCCAUGACUCAUCAGUAGCAGGACAAUGGCGAGGCCCAGGAUAGGCGAGGCCUUAGGACAGGAUCAGUCGUAUGAGUUUAACUUAUGUGUUGUGAUAUGUUAUGAUAUUAUUAGUUGGCGGGCGGGGCCCUGUGAUAGGCGAGGCCUAAGUAAAACAGAUCUGUAUCCGAGCGGGGCUCGAAGCCAGGCGGGGCUUGGAGCGGCGAGGCCGUUAUAGCGGGCGAGGCCCAAGGCAGGGGGCGAGGCCCAAGAUAGCGGGCGUGGCUCAAUAUGUGCAGUAUGUGAUUAUGCAUGGUAUGUGGUAGGGUGGGGAACUCACUAAGCUUCGUGCUUACGGUUUCCAGUUUUGGUUUCAGGUACUUCCGGUAGCGGAGGGAAGAGCUCGGGGGGAUCGCCUGGCACACACCAUUGAUUAGGCAGCCUGGGAAUGUUUACUCUGAUAAUGAACAUGUGUUUUAAAAAUUUAUACUUUGAUUAUGUUUUGGAAUGAUGACUUUGCUUAAAGUAAUGUUUUAUUAAAAGAAAUUUUUGGUCUUGAAUUUUGGGUCGUUACAAUUAUGGUGAUUCUAUCUAAACUUCCAAAAGGAUCUUCAUCUUCUUCAUCACUACAUGGUUAUAGUUCAUCAGCUCGUGUUCAUACUCCAUCUACUCAUGGUCAUAAUUCAUUAACUUCUAAUCAUAGAUAUGAUGUAUUUUUAAGUUUUAGAGGUGUUGACACUCGUCAUAGUUUCACUGAUCACCUUCAUAAGGCCCUCAUUCAUGCCAAUAUCAAUACCUUCUUGGAUGAUGAAGACAUUGAAACAGGGGAAGAUCUGAAACCAGAACUGGAGAGUGCGAUUAAGGCAUCUCAGGCUUCUAUUAUUGUGUUGUCUAAGAAUUAUGCUUCUUCAACAUGGUGCCUGGAUGAAUUGGUGCUGAUCCUUGAGCAACGGAUGACAUCCAACCAUAUCGUCAUCCCAAUCUUUUAUCAUGUGGAGCCCACACAUGUCAGGAAGCAACAAAGUAGCUUUGGGGUUGCAAUGGAUAAGUAUAAACAGACAAUGGAGGCAGAGACAAAUGCAAAUAAAAGAAGUCAAUGGGCUCAAAAGAUGGACCAAUGGAAUAAAGCGCUUACACAAGUUGCUGAUUUAAAAGGGAAUGACAUAAAUGGCAGGUCACCACUUUCUUACCCUUAUUCAUCUCCCUAUGCAUUUCAAUAAGUUUUUCUAAAUCAUUAAAUAGACAUAUAUUUGAUAUUUUAGGAUAUAUAGAAAAUGAACAUAAUUGAAAAUAAGUCCUCAAGUAUGUGUUCUCAUAAACCAGUUCGUAUAGAUGGAUUAGCCAUUCUGAUAAUUUUUACAUGUUUGUUAUGCAUUUUGUAUUUUAUCAUAAGUUAGUACUUUAGAUAAACCUGCUCCACGAUUUUUACAUGCUUUUUAUUUAAAAACCAAAGUUUGAUGGGUUUUCUAUGCUUCUACUAUUAAUUAUAUCAUACUGCCUUCAAAUCAUAGUGGUUACACAAGUUGAUGAUUUAAAAGGGAAUGACAUAAAUGGCAGGUCACCACUUUCUUACCCUUAUUCAUCUCCCUAUGCAUUUCAAUAACUUUUUCUAAAUCAUUAAAUAGACAUAUAGCUGAUGUUUUAGGAUAUAUAGAAAAUGAACAUAAUUGAAAAUAAGUUCUCAAGUAUGUGUUCUCAUAAACCAGUUCGUAUAGAUGGAUUAGCCAUUCUGAUAAUUUUUACAUGUUUGUUAUGCAUUUUGUAUUUUAUCAUAAGUUAGUACAUUUAGAUAAACCUUCUCCACGAUUUUUACAUGCUUUUUAUUUAAAAACCAAAGUUUGAUGGGUUUGCUAUGCUUCUACUAUUAAUUAUAUCAUACUGCCUUCAAAUCAUAGUGGUUUUAAUGAUAAAUAACUGCUUUUAGUUGUAUUUAUUAAAAGAUAACCCAUAACUAUUUCAUGGCAUUUUGUUCAAAUCCAUGUAAAGCCACAUCGAUGGUUAAGUUUGAUGGUCUUGUAGAAACAUAGGGAAAUCUUGUAUUUCGUUGGUUGCUUUGGUCUUAUCAUAAACUAAUAUUUAUGACCCUCUCCAUUAGCGAAAUCUUGUAUUUCAUGGUAUUUUGUUCAAAUUGAUGUGAGAAGUCAAUUAAUAAUAACAACAGUGAUAUAAUCUUAGUUAGGAUCUUUGAAUAAAUUAAAUCUCCCAAACUGGUUCAUUAGUUUUGUAGAUUGUGUUCUGAAAUUCUUAUAUAAUCAAGUUUCAGGUUGGAGACAGUGUUUAUUGAAGAAAUUGUGAAGGACAUCCACCGUAGAUUACAUGUACACUUAAGGAGCGUUCGGCCACAACUUAUUGGGAUGAAUUAUCAUAUUAACUUUGUAACUUCAUGGUUGAAAGAUGGAUCCUCGCAUACAGCAGACAUACUUACUAUUUAUGGUAUAGGUGGGAUCGGGAAGACAUCUUUAGCCAAACAUGUCUAUGGGCUAUAUUCUCAUGAAUUCCAUACAGGCAGCUAUAUUGAAGAUAUCACCAGGAAAUGUGAUGGGAAGUUUAAUGGGUUGCUUGAUUUACAAGAACAACUCUGCUAUGACAUUUCAAAAACAAGUUCAAUUAAAGUUCAUGAUGUUUCAGUAUACACCGCAAAGAUAGAGAAUGCACUAGCAUGUAAGUUCUUGAUGAUAUCAGUACCCUUGUUCAGUUGGAUGCACUACUUGGAAGCAAAGGCUUUCAUCCUGGAAGCAAAGUUAUAAUUACAACAAAGGACAAUUGGUUGACUCAGAGUUGUUCUUUAUUUAAAACAAACAUUAAACCCAAGCAUGAAAGGAAUUUGCUUCGAGGCUUAGAUUAUUUUGCAUCGCAACAACUUUUGUGUUCCCAUGUAUUCAUGUGAAACCAACCAAGGCGGGAUAUGAAGAGAUGUCUGAUAAGCUUGUGAAGUAUUGUGAAGGACAUCCAUUGGCUCUUGAAAUUUUGGAACAAUCUCUACAUAAUCGAGAUGUAGCUUAUUGGGAAGGGUGCCUCGAAGGGCUAAGGAAUGAAAUUACUUCCCCUAUCAAUAAUGUCUUGAAAAUGAGCUUCGAUUCCUUGCCAUCAAAAAACGAUAAGGAGUUGUUUAAGCAUAUUGCUUGUUUUUUUGUUGGACUAGACAAAGAUGUUACCGAAACAAUAUUAGAGGCAUGUGAUAUAAACACAAGAUCCGGGAUCACGAAUCUCAUUGACAGAUGCCUUCUUAGUAUAGGACGAAAUAAUGAAUUGAAGAUGCAUCAGUUGGUUCAAGAGAUGGGAAG
RNAcentral lists this long non-coding RNA (45104 nucleotides) under Lactuca sativa (garden lettuce). RNAcentral's name for it is "long non-coding RNA (LSAT_LNC000543)". The record is from RNAcentral. Lineage: Eukaryota; Viridiplantae; Streptophyta; Magnoliopsida; Asterales; Asteraceae.